Molecule: long non-coding RNA, 83339 nt
Filed under: Ananas comosus (pineapple)
Lineage: Eukaryota; Viridiplantae; Streptophyta; Magnoliopsida; Poales; Bromeliaceae
Description: long non-coding RNA (ACOM_LNC022508)
Source: RNAcentral
UGUGGACAGAUGAAUUUUUGUGCUUGUGACGGAUCUGUCCGUUCCUUAUAAAAAAAAUUAAAUGUUUUUUUUACUGAGUAUAUCUUUUUCUGAAAAGUCUUUACAAAAAAAGUUCUAGAUCAUAACAGAUUAAGGCGGGAUUGCGGGAAGAUUGCGUUACGUGUGGUGAGAAACGACGAUGGAAAAAUACUCUGUUUAUUUCUGUAAUAUUACGUUCCACAUAUUGCGGUUAGUCGGUUAAGAUAUAUUUUCUGCGGUGUCGGUUAUAAUAUAUUCUCUGCGGUCCUAUCGGAGAACGCAGAAGUAUAUCUCUAUAUACUUUUUCUCAACUCCAUUCUAUCUAAUAACGUUAGAUAGUCCUCAAUACCAAACUAAGCUUAAAUCAUUAAGAUGUUAGCAUCUUAUACUAUUAACUAACCAAAAGUACUCAUAUUGUGUAGGUUGGUUCACCAUUCCUAUAAAUUUGGAUGUUUAUUAGAUUGCCUUCAUAAACAAGGAAAAAUUCUUCAUAACAUAUGCACCAACAUAUCAAUAAUGGACUCAUACCAAUCAUGCUUAACACAGUUGGAUAAGAAUUUGAUGGUUAGUAUUUGAGAUUCCAAAUUUGAAACAUUAUUACUUUACAUUUUUAGUUGAAUUAAACUAUAAUAAAAAAAAUGAACAAAGCAAAGAGCUUGCUACCUUUCUCUUAGAAAUAACAAUAAUAAUAAUAAUAAUAAUAAUAAUAAUAAUAAUGGGACUUACAACAAUACUCACAUUCAUGUACAGUCAAUAUGUUAUCACAUUUGCGGAGGCCAUAUAUUUCACAAAUUUAUCACGCUAUGUUUGGGAUUGAGUCACAUUUGUGGAGGCCAUAUAUUUCAUAAAUUUAUAACGCUAUGUUUGGGAUUGAGACGAUUGAGACGAGAGAGUAAGAUAAAAAAAUAUAUUAUGUUUUUCUUUUAAAUAUAAUAUCACGUUUCACAUAUCGCAAUCAUUUGUUCUAUUUUGUCUUACUAAGGAUAGAUAGGUCUGAUCAAAAUUAAACAGACGCUAAGGGCUAGUGUGAUUAUGACUAAAAGCAUUGAAUUUAUACUAUAAAAUACGCAAAAAAUACGAAAGUGUUUACAAUCUCUCUUAUUAUUCUAACGAGUGAAGGCCCGCGCUUCGCAGCGGGAAAUUUACGAAGAAAAAUCAAAAUAAAUAACUAAAUAUUUAAAGUUUAAAAUAUUUUAUUAUUCAAAAUUUAAAUUUAAAUUUAGAAUAUAAAAUGUUGAAACUUAAAAUUUAAAUUUUAAUAUAUCAAAUUGAAAUUUCAAUAUUUAGAAUUUAAUAUUUGGAUUUUUAAAAUUCAAUUUAUAAUUAUAUAUAUAUUCUCCUCUCUCCCUAUCUUUCUCCUCUAUAUAUAUAUACAUAUAUGUAUUACAAAUAAUAUUUAUUAUAUCAUUACAUGUCGUGGUUAUAAGUUUCUCUCGGUCCUCUCUCUAUAUAUAUAUGAUAUUAUUUUUGGAAUAGAAAUUUAAUUUGUUGUAUUUAAUUUAAAGGUUUAAAUUUAAGUUUUUAUUUUUUUGUAUGUGAAUGCAACAAUCUAAAAAAAAAUUGGGAAAGAGAAAAAAAAAAAAAAAAAUAAGAACGGAAAGAGAGAAGUUUAUCUAUCUAUCUAUCUAUCUCUUCCUCUCUCAUCUCAUCUGAUCUCUAUAUAUAUAAUAUAUUAUGUAAAUUAAAAAUUUUAAUUGGGAGAUUUCGUAUCGAAGCAUCUUCGCGGCGACGGGUGAGGUGCGGCAUCCCUAGAGGGAGAUGAAGUGGUUGCGGAAGGCGGGGAGAACCAGGGCGGGCAACGCGUAGUCGCAGCCCGGUGGACCUCCCCGCGGGACAUGAGCGGCGAAUGUUGGCGUCGUCGAAGGCGAGCUGUCCCGCGAGGAGCACGAAGAGGAGACCCGGCACGACCAUGCUUCGGCGCGGCUCGCAGCGAACCGCGUCGUAUCCGUUAGCAUUGAAUAGGAAACCUAGAAGGUGGAUCACAUGCUUGAAAACGCCUAGAAGUGUACGAUUCACUUCAUAUUAGCAAUUAAUAUCGCAGAUAAACUAAUCCAGGGACUACACACAAAUAAAGGGAAUAAAAUCAUUUUCAAGUUAACUUCUUUCGCCUGGCAUACUAAUAAUUCUACAACACAGUCCAAAUCUCAAUAAUUUAUCUUGGAAAAGCACUCAGUUUUCACAAAAAUGAGGCACUGAUUACUAUCCUUGCAUCGCAGAGCCGCAUCUAAAAGAAAUAUAUAAUAUUAUAGUAUAUAUAUAAUAUAUAUAUACUAUAUUAAAUGAAGCUCGAGAGAGAAGAUGAAAUGCCGUAGAAAAAAUAAUAUAAUGCGACAGUUAAAUAACUAAUCAUAGUGGACUCUUCAAAUAAGAUAAAUAAAAUUAAAGCUCCUAUGCCAUCUACGAAGCUGCAAAGAAAGUCCUAGGGCAUUAAUAAACAGUAGCCCGGCGUCAGGCCAGGUCCCGCACGGCCGGGUGGAGGCGGCCCCAUCGCGCCGCGCUGGCUAUCCGCGAGGCUGCGGCGAGCCGAAGGAAUCGGAGAGCUUAGAGCACGCCGUCACGGGCGAGGAGCAGGUUCUGCGGCUUGACGUGCGUGGUGGCGGCCACCCGCGCGCACGGUGGCAGUGCACAGCGGGCGGUGACAUGUCUGGCAGCAGGUCUAGUAAUUUAUUUAAUAUUUAUUUAUCAUAAUUUUAGUUUUUUAAUAUAUUCUAUCAUAAACAAUAAAUAGUAUGUAAAUAUAUAUAUAUAUAUAUAUAUAAAUAAUCUUUAUUUAUAAUUAUUAGUAUAUAUAUAAACAUCAUAUAAUACAUAAUAUAUAUUUAUUAAAUAAAUUAAUAUAUAUAUUACUAUAAAAAUUACUGAUAAUGAAGGGAGAGAGAGAGAGAAUGAGAGGUGUGCCACCCGGGACCAUCCUCUCAAUAGUGUCGCACGGGCACUUGGGCCUGUGGGACCCCGUGCAAACCCACGACCACUGCGCGGCGCCGCCGCCCGCGCGAAAAAGUACCGACACGACGCGGCCCGAGCCCCGCGCCGGUAUCCGUGCCCCGCGCCGUCGCUCGCGCCCUGGCCGUCCUCGGCAGACUCUCCGCGCCGUGCCGCGCCCCCGCCGCCGCCCCUCGCGUCCGGCCCCUCCGCCGCGCCGCGCCUCGCCCGCGGCGCCAGCACUGGAGCCCACCCCCGCGAGGGCGCCCGGCGCCCACCCCCCGGGGCGCUAGACGCGCGCCGUGUGCCCGCCGGCCGCCUGCGCCCAUCGUGGCCGUCGCUCCGCAACCUCGGCCUCCUCGCGAAACGUGACGCAGUGCAAAUCUUAAGUGGCGCGGUGGAACGGCGCAUCACCCCGCUCCCAGCAGCGCGCAACCGCGUUCGUGCGAGAGCCCCGCACCGGCCGACACCUCGCGCAGCACUUUAAAUUAAAUUUAAAAGUAAAAUUAAAAUUUUAGGAUCGUAAUCUUUUUUUUUUUAAUAUCGUGAUCCAUAAUUCUUUUAAAAAAAAAAAAUAGAAAGAGAGAGAGAAGAGAUAGAGAGAGGCGAGAGAGAGAGAGAGAGAGGGAGUCGGUCUGCCAGGCGAAAGGGAAAAAAAAAAAAAAAAGCGGCUCAGCGCGGGGCCUCCGCAAAACCGGCUCGCUCCCCCGCAGCCGUCGAGGCCCCCCCGGCUCGCGCCAGCUCGCCUGGCGUCCCGGCCGCACGCCUCGCGCGAGGCCCAUCCGAAGCCCGCGGCGCCCGCCCCGCGCCCGGAGGCCGCGCCCACGCCGGCUCGCGCAAAGAGCGGCAGAUCGCCGCCGCCGCGCCAACGCCCGCCCGCGCUCGCGCCCGCUCGGGCUCGCGCCGCGCCCCCCGCCCGCACGCACGGCUCGCCGCCCCGCGGCGCCGCGCCUGCCUGCCCGGCGCCGGCCGCUCGCCCGCACCGCUGCGCUGCCUCAUCGCCGCACGCCCCGCUCGCGCAAAACGCGGAGCCGCCCUGCGUACCCGCUUAGGACUGCCUCCUCGCGUGCGCCGCCGCGUGGCUGGGGAGAGGGCAGAGAGCAGAGAGAAAGAGGCCAGGGGGAGAAAAGAGGGGACAGAGAGGAGGGGGGAGAGAGGAGACGAGCAGAGGAGAGAGGGGUGUCGUUGGUGGGAUCAGGGAGAGAGCAGAGGGCGGAGGGAAGAGUAAAGAACGGUGGCGGAGAGAGAGAGAGACUCCUCUCUCCGCGCGCGCGCGGACCCUUGUUCUCCCACGCCCCGUGUCCCUCUCUCUCUUUCUCUCUCUCUCCCGCCCGCCCCCGUGCGCUGGGGGCGCGGGUCAGGUACCCCGGCACCGCCGUGUCCCCCCCUCUCUCUCUACGUGCGGGCCCUUGGGGCCCCCGUGUCCCCCCCUCUCUCUCUCUCUCUCUCUACCUCUCUCUCUCUCUGUCUGCUCUCUCUCUAUCUCUCUCUCUCUCUCUUUCUCUCUGUCUGCUCUCUGUCCCUCUCUUUCCCCCUCUCUCUCUGUCUGCUCUCUCUCCUCUCUCUCUCUCUUUCUCUCUUCCUCGCGAGCGCGGAAGCCCCCGCGAAACGCGGGGAGGGCGCCGUACAUACUCAGCUUUCAUUAUUUGUAUUGAUGAUUGAUAUUGAUGAUACUAUAAAAUUGUGUUUGUAAUGACAAUUGUUAACUACAAUUUUAUAAUGUAAAAAAAAAAAUUAAAAACGCUUUUAUAUCUUUUGUACCUUCUUUUUUUUUACCACCGUACUGUCAAAUUAGCCUAACUUAAUAUAGCCUAAAACAUUGAUAGGGAUGUCAAGGGUAUUUUCAAAAAUCCGAACCCAAAGCGUGAACUGGAACUCGAACCCGACGGAUAUUAAAAAUUCAUAUCCAAAUCCGAAUGCAAUAAAAAAUUCAAAACCCAAAUCCAAAUCCGAAAAUCCAAAUCCGAAACAAUUAUUUCUCUUUUCAAUAUUUCAAAAUCUAUUACAUUAAAUCUAAAUGUUUAAAAUAUAAAUUUAAAUAUAACAUCAAAUUUUUAUAUACGUAUUAUAUAUAAUGUAAAAUAAAUUCGAGUUCAGAUCGGGUACAGUUAAAAUCCAUAUCCGAAUCCAUAUCCAUCGGGUUUUUGUUUUUGAUAUUCAUAGCCGAAACCAUAUUCGUUUAGUAUCGAAUAAAUCUGCUCCAUUCGAGUUCGGUUAAAAUUUCGGAUAUCCGUACCAUUGACAUCCCUACUCAUUGAGGAGAGAGUUUCCACUAGAAUAUGUACUAUUGCUCAUAAACAAAAAUUCAUGAGUCCUUCAGCCUUCCUACCUAAGUAUAAAAAGCAUACAGCAUUACUAAAAUAUUAGAAAGAUCGACUAAUCUUUUUUAUAUAUAUAAAAAAAUUUCCCUACUUUUUCAAGAUGACCAACUAAGUCAACUUCCAUAUUAAUGUGGAAAGUACAGCUGAAUCAAAUUACUCUCCAACUUCCCCACAGUUUGUCAACAAGUUGAAUUUUGCUAUUAAAGCUUUGGUACUGUUUCAUUUGCAGCAUUUGAUACUACAAUGUAAGUGCAAUUACAGGCCAACAAAGAAAAUCAAUUCAGGUUGUUGUAGUUGCUGUUAACUGAUACCAUUGGAUUGGCAGAUGAAGGUCAAACUGCUGCCUUUUAACCAACGCUCAAAUUGCAUAUAGUUAGAAGUGCAGCAGUUGAAGAGAAUAACUUUACAUAAGAAGUAAUCUUACUUAUUUAUUGAUCUCUUAAACGAAAAAAAAAAGAGAACUUUCUCUUUAAGGAGGUUAUCUCACAAUCUCCAUAUAAAAUAACAAAAUCACAAACCCUACUUUACAAAAAAGGAAAAACUUGUACCUGGAGCGUUUCAAUAGCAGGGUACCAAACGAUUGACAUCGUAUUUAUAUGCGGAGGAACCGCAUAGUGCCUAUGUAGGAGAUAGGAGCACAUGUGGCCUACAGAAGAUACAAGAAGAUAUAUUUAUAAUGAUUACAAAAAUAUAUAAUAAGAAAAAGUCUACCUGUACACCCUAUUUGGGGCGUAUAUCCUACAACUUUAGAAUCAAUGGUUGAGAUUAAAUGGGAAUUAAGUGCAUGUAUCGUCUCACGCCGCCUUAUUUCCGUUCCACGUAUUUCCCUGCUCUCUCCAAAGCUCUCUCUCGCGCUCUCUGAGCCUCGCGCUCUCUGAGCUCUCGCUUCUCUCCAUAGACAGCAGCAUUCUCUCGCUCUCACCUCUCUCCAUCGGGCAGGAGCUCGCUUCUCUCGCCAUCAUUGUUUCGUUCCACACAUUCCCCUGUUGGUCUCUCCCAAGCUCUCUUUUGCACUCUGUAGGAAUCCCCGCUCCAACCUUCUUAGAGCUCUCUAUCGCCCUCGCCUCUAUCUAUUGGUAGGAGCUCGCCUUUUGUUUCUUGUAAGACGCUCCGCUCCGCUCUCCUGCCCAUCGUAGGACCUGCCACUCGUUCAUCCACUCAUAGGCACCUGAAAUUGGAGACGAUUUUCGACCUCUCGACCAUAACACUUUAGACUCUUUUAAUUCUUGUUAUCUUAUUCUUUCAUUAUUUUUAUUUAAUAUAAAAUUUUAAAUUUUUAGGGUUUGAGUACCAUCUUCAUAUUCGCCUUUGCCAUGCCACUGUCUUCAUCACCGAGGAGUAUCAGAUUCAGUCAAUAUAAGAAAACUAUUUAGAUUCAAUUCUAUUGGUAUAUAUUAUUGUUGGUAGCAUUUAUAUAAAUUCAGGGUUUAAAAGUUACUACUUGUAUACCACAGUCAUACACACGCACACAGUGUGGUAUCCCUGGAGUUCAGCUGUUGAGGCUUGUCGACAGCUCUGGAGAGUGUCGAGACAAGUCUGAGUCACGUUGGUGCGAAUUAGAUGCUAAACGGACUCACUGCGACGCGAGAGCAGGGUGUGAGCAUUGCAAAUUGAAAAAAGGUUGUUUUCUGCCUGUUGUACCGGUACAACCAUCGAGUUGUAACCGGUACACUUCCUGUACUGGUACAGCCAUCGAGGUGUACCAGUACACUUUGCCAGAACCUGCGCAGCUGCUCUCAGGUUGCCAUUUGUACCGAUACAAAUGCCCGUGUACCGGUACACAGGGUAGGUGAGGGGCAAAUUGGUCUUUGCCAUGCCUCGUAUCACCCUUUUCCCCCAGCUAUAUACAGGUGUGAGGAGAGCUAAGAGAGCUUAUUUUCCCUACUUCCUUCCCUCUCUCUCUCUAGCUUGACUGAUUGUGGAGGAGCUCGGGUGGUGUUGGAGUUUCGUCGACGUCGCGCCGCGGUGCCAUUUGAGGGUGUCUUCGUCGUCGUAGCGCUGCGGGGAGGCCGAGCGAGGGUGCGUUUCCGCCGUUCUUGACGCCGUACCGGAUUGGGAGUAGCUUUUGAGGUGGGUUAAUCGUCGGUUUGUCUUCUAAGUGUAUAGAGAUAGUCGGCAUGUGUCGUUGCAGUUGUUUUUACAUAUCCUAUUUCCUCGAUUCAUGAAUUUGGUGUUUCUUUUACAAAAAUCUGAAUUGGAGCCUAGUGUUACUAAAUCUACUUGCACAUGUUGGACUUAGAUAUAACUUAGGAGAAAACCUACGAUUCGAACCUGUCACAUGCUUAAACUACCGGAUUUAGCUCUAGGAGCCGUUGUUAUUUUGUAUCGCCGCAGUAUCGGCGUGGUGGAUACUCGAGGUAGUUUAGAUUUCAGUUACGCUCGUGCUGAAAUGCCGAGUGUAUUUUUACAGUAGCUUUCAGACUGUUCCGGACUAUUGGGUGCCGUCGGGGUUCACGGUGGACCCAUAACGCCAUUUUGGCGUCAGAUUGUGCCAAGGGCACGUGACCUGUUGGUUGUUAGACCAGUUGGACCUGAUUUACUUGACUUUGGCUUGUGAGAGCCUGUUUGAACUCGACAGAAAUACGCUGCAUACUCGGUUGGGUAGCUCCCACGAGUGCCACUCCGGAGACGAGCGUUGUACUUUCGCGUUGGUGUCGUUCGUGCAGGUUGGACUUGCUCUCCACGGACCGCUUAGUGUGGAGGUAGCUGUAUAGUCGCAACCGGGCGGGACGGGUGUGUUCACAGUCCCAGGGACGGGUAGGCUUACAGUCCUAGUUGGAUUGGGUCAGGAUUGACAUUUCCUACAGUUGUUUAGUGUAGAGCAUGAUAGUGUAAUGAUUUGUAGCUGUAGAUUUCCUUCUAAUAUUUUUCUACUAUCUUUGCUCCCUUCUGUACACUUGGUGGGUGGACCGACGAUGUUGAGGGCGGUAUCCACUAAGGACUACUUGUUUUUACAGUAGUUCUCACGCCCAGUUGUUACCCUAUUUUUGCAGAGCCUGCUGUUCCGGCUGCUGCUUCCUUGGAGACUAAUCGUGGCACGGGCGUUGCCAGUUAGAGCCCUUCCCAGUUGCUGCUGUUCGAGAGGUUACCAGCUGCAGGUAGUGUUAGUUUUUGAGUUUCUUAUACAUACUGGUUGUAUCUCGCUGAGCGAGCUUUUUUUAUACCUGGAUGUAUGUAUGUAUAUGGAACUUGUUCCUAUUUAUACCAAUUUUAUCCGAACAGCUCUAUGCUACUGGUUGUAGUAUUGUAUUUGUUACAGGUACAGCUACGCUUCGUAUACAGGAAAAAUUCCUUUGUGUAUGGUGGAUUUGUCGGCGGGCCCGGGGAACGUGUAAUCCAGGGCGUGACACACACUGUUUAUACAUCAUGCAUUUGAUUAAAUUUUGUUCGGUUUAGGAUAAGAAAUAUGUAUUCAUUAUAUUAGAAAUAUACAUUAUUACGACAUAAUAGAACAGUGCUGUGGGGUUUUAAAUUUUAUUUGUUUGAAUAUGAAACAUGUAUUCAUUACAAAUAUACACUCCUAAGGAUUGGUAGGACAGUACUAUACAAAUUUACUGAUACAUAUUAUUUUGUUUGUAUCUAUAUAAUUCAAAAUUUAGGAUUAGGGUUUAGAAAUUUUCACUUAUAUACCACAGUCAUAUACACACACGUAAGAUUUAUAGCUGAUGCACAUGAUUAAGUUUUAUUCAUUUGAAUAAAAAACACGUAUUUAUUGCAAAUAUACACUCUUACAAAUUAGUAGAAUGGUACUAUGAGAUUUUUAGGAGUUACUUUGCCACACUGGUUGAAACGGAACAUACUACUUGUACACUCCUAUGAAUAAUUAUUUGGUUUGUAUUCGUAGAAUUCAUACUUUAGGGUUAGGAUUUAGAAAUUGCUGCUAGUAUAGUACAAUUUUACACACACACAUAUAUAGUUUAUAAAUCAUGCAUAUGAUUAAAUAUUUGAUCGUUUGAAUAUGAAUACAUAUUUAUUACAAAUUUACACUCUUAGAGCAUAAUAGGACAGUCUUAUUAGGUUUUAAUAUUUGUUCAUUUGAAUAUGAACGUGUAUUCGUUACAAAUUUACACUCUUAGUGCAUAAUAGAGCAGUUUUAUGAGGUUUUAGUUUUUGUUCAUUUGAAUGUAAAUAUGUUGUUGUAAAUUUACACUUCUAGAGCAUAAUACAAUAGUCUUAUGAGGUUGUGAACAUGUAUUCGUUACAAAUUUACACUAUUAGGACAUAGUAGAGCAGUCUUAUGAGGUUUUAAUUUUCCUUCAUUUGAAUGUGAACAUAUAUUCGUUGCAAAUUUGUGCGUGUAUGAUUGUGGUAUGCAAGUAGCAACUUUUAAACCCUAAAUCCUAAACCCUAACCUUAAACCCCGAAUUUAUAUAAUGCAACCAAAAGUAACAUAUAUCAACAGAAUUGAAUCUGAAUAGUUUUCUUAUAUUAACUAAAUAUGAUACUCCUCGGUGAUAAAGACAGCGGUAUGGCAAAGACGAAUGUGAAGAUGGUACUUAAACCCUAAAAAUGUAAAAUUUUAUAUUAAAUAAAAAAAAUGAAAGAAUAAGAUCACAGUAAUUAGAAGAGUGUAGAAGGUUGUGGCCGAGAGAUCAAAAAAUCGCCCCCAAUGAACGAGUGGCAGGUCCUACGACGGACAGGAGGGCGAAGCAGAGCAUCCUACAAGCAACGAGAAGCGAGCUCCUACUAAUAGAGAGAGGCAAGAGUGAUAGACAGCUCUGAGAAGAUUGGAGCAAGAAUUCCUGCAAAAUGUGAGAGAGAACUUGGGAGGAAGCAACAAAGGAAUAUGUGGAACGAAACAACGGCGGCGUGAGAAACAAGCUCCUGCCCGAUGGAGAGAGGCGAGAGUGAGAGAAUGCUCCUAUCUAUGGAGAGGCGAGAGCGAGAGAGAGAGAGCUCAAAGAGCGCGAGGCUCAGAGAGCACAAGAGAGAGAGCUUUGGAGAGAGCAGAGGAAUGCGUGGAACCGAAAUAAUACACUCACUUAAUUCCCGUUUAAUCUCAACCACCGAUUCUAAAGUUGUAGGAUGUACACCCCAAACAGGGGUGUACAGGUAGGCUUUUCCAAUAAAUAUGAUUGAAAACAAAGGAAUCGUAGAGAAAAAUUCUAACAAAUACAAAAAGCAAGGCUAGAACACUUCUAGGAGUUUAUUUCCGCAUCAUUUCUAGCGAGGGAGAAAUUCGAAUCGAUGAUUGGCACAAUUAAACAUAAUUUUAGCUAUUUAAACUUUCUAUAAAUUGAAUUUUACGAUUCUUAAAUAUCAUUCGUAUAAUGAUCAAAUGGUCUCAAUUCAGUUUCUUUAGAUACUGAAAAUUGUUAAUUUUGACACUACCCGAAUACUAAGCAAAUGAUGCUGUAAAAUCGUCUAAUGCGAAACCAAGAGUCUAACUAGUUUAGAUCAAAUUUAACAGCAUGAAUCGUCGAUUUAUAUAUUCUAUUGCCAGAAAUAGAAGUUCAAAGGCACGAUUAAAGUAAAUUGAAGUUAGGUUACCUAAAUGAAAUUUCAAUUAAAGUUUUGCGACCAAUGUGUAAACUUUAGCCCUAAACUUGUAAGAGUUCCAACAUAACACAUUGGUACAACAUUGGAAAAUGCUUGAGGUGCUUCCUACAGAAAGUGCCUGUUAAAAAAAGAUGUAACAAGAGAUACAUAUUGUACACACAACAUAGGUUUCCGAGAGUCACAUGUUACCGAGUAGAACUAAGUUGAGAAAAAGAAAUCGGUUUGUGCAAGCAGUCCGAUCUCUGCGGCUGUACAAUUCUGCAUCACAAACAACAAUCGAUGAGCAACCUCACAUAAAAAUGCUCAAGAGCCUCUUCUUUCUCACUUCCAUCUUAAUUAUUACCUCUUCCGCCGUUUGGACUCCUGCGAAAGAAUUGCCAAAAACAAGAUGAGGAACCAAACCACCGUAUUCAAUCCAUUAAACUACUUCAAUAGCAACCAACUCCAUCAUGCAACUAAAAAAGAUGAAUUUCAUGGGGAUUUUAACACCUAAUAUUAUUCGAGCGGCAAACUAAUUGAACUUGAUCACUGACAUAGCUGCUUCUUAGGAAAGUAUUUUCACAAACCAUGUCAUAAGAAAGUACACGAAGAUGAUUAACUGACCUGCAUUAAUCAGGUAAAUAAUACCAAAAAUACGACUCAACAUGAGAUACAAUCAGAGAAUGUUCGACUCACUCAUCCAGCUUAAUGAAUGGUGAAAUUACAAGUGUAACUGAUAUGAUUCUAUUUCGCUUAACAGCUUCAUAAAGAGGAUCCAUCAAAGCUAUCAAAAGUUGGCUAUGGCUUUAUCCAGUGUGAAAUCAGAGAAUUAAAAAAAACAUGAAUAUGCCAAAGAGGAAUAUCAAAAUGCAUGAGACAGACUGGUUGCUGAAAACCAAGAAAGGACACAUGGCAACAAGCUUGUAGAAUCAGAUGCUAAGAUCCUUUUUUUUACUUUUUGAUAGAGAGUUUUCUUAUAAAUGGCAACACAAGCGCCUGAUUGAUGUAUGGAUCUAAUAUUCCAAAUCCAAGGUAUUAUACACAUUUUACUAUACUAUUUUGAUGCAAGUUGGUUCCAGUAGUAGAUAGUCAUCUAAAAGUAUGAAAGCAAUGAACAAUUUCAUUGUCCUAAUCCUGAUUUCUAAACUCAAUUAGGACAACAAAGUGGAAUGAUUCAUGGAAAUAUAAAUUGCCCCUAUAUCUCACUACUUUUCUGUCUAAAUCUCAUGUGCUGAAAUUUGUAAGUUGUAACCUCAAUAUGAACCUGAACUUUUGAAUCUGAGCCAUUUAACUAAUUUAUCAAAGUAUAAAUUGGUCUAAGGAUGCUAGGCACAAUUAGCAUGCUUUAAAGUUUAGCCGUUGAACAUAUGCAUACGUCUCAUUGACUAGAUCACUAAAUUAUAAAUUUUCAUGGCAUAUAUCAUUUAAUGAUUGCAUUGUUAUAUUAAAGUCUCUCUUCUGUGACCUUCCAAUUGUAACCUCUAUGGCACUUGACUAUGCAUGUUGAGACAGAUCUGUAAGUUUUGUUUUCUUGAUCAAGUUUGGCAACUACAAUUAAACAUUGAUCUUCCUCAGUUAUGUCAAGCAUUCGGCGCUAGUUUAUAAUCCUUUAUUUCAUUCCUCGCAAACAAAUUGUUGAUUAUCUUGCUACGAGCCGAAUUCUGUACCCCUUGACCCGGUCAAAGAUUUUUCUAGAGAAGCGUGCAGGGAUUUGAUACGGCUACACGUGAUGACCCUCGAAGUUUGCGCCAUUCAACAAAUCAAGCGAUUCGGCUGAUGAGGGAUCGGAUCAGCCAAGUUCGAAACCUCCUACUGUAGAAUUACUUCGGCUGAAUGAACCGAAUCAAGAAUUGCACAAUGUCUUUGGGUCGGCUAAUGAGCCGAAUGCCCUUUUAUAUAUAUUAUCUUAAAAUUCGGAACAAGUACAAAAGAAUGCCGAUACAGCUUACAUAAAAUCUACCUUAAAACUACUCCUAAUAAAAGCGAUAAAUGCAGAAAGAAAUGAUUACAGGUAGACUACUCCUAAGAAAAGCGAAGAAAAUGCAUAGAAUUGAAAAGUGGUCUUCUGUUCCUAGGGAAAAAGAUCCCUCUUCCAGGCGUUACCCGCCUAUUUAUGCUCCGCGCAUUGUUAUUCAGUUAUUUACACGAUCGGCCACUUCCCUAAUUUCGUGGGCCACUAUAAGCCGAUCUCAACCGCUCAAACCGCUUGCGGUUGGUUACCAUUUGUUCUUUGCUCCCGGUGCACCAAAUGUCUAGCCCUGGAGUUUCUGGCUGUACUGUGCACCGUUUUACCACGUGGCGCCAAUUUAUUGGCACCAACAUAUCUUUAUAGAUAUAUUCAGAUCUACGUAUGUUGAACAGAUGAAAAAGAUAAGUGCUAUCGUAGAUUACUGUGAUUUGUUCAGUUGUACACUAAUCAUUGCUACUUUUUGGAGCUUCACGUCCACAUGUUGCUAUGUAUGACUAGCCAAUAUCAUUAAGGCAGUAAAAAUAUAUGAAGACCCCCUUACCUAUUUGGCUAUUCUGAAACAACCUUCUCAACUUUAAUUUUUUGGAUUGACACCCCCUCAAUUUUGAUUUUCUGCAUAUUGGUGAUUUUUAUCAAGCAAAUUGGGGAUUGUAUCAAAUCAAAUGGUUUUAAUCACUUUUAAGCAAAUAAAACUAGAACAAUUGACAGCUAAUACUAAUGGACCCACUAUUUUUUUUUUAAAAAAAAACAACCAACUAGAAAAGCUCUUUUCCUUUUAUUUUUUGGGUGGGGGUGGGGGAGGUGGGGGGAGGUAGGGGGCGGCACUAAACCUUGAACCCAUAAAAAUUUACCUAUCGAGUACUGUGAGGAUAACUCAGCCAAUAGUUUCAUGAUUUUACAAAGCAAUUUGUCGUCUAAGAUUUUACACAACUCAAGAAGAAUUUGCUCUCCUCAUAAUAUGAAGAGAAUAUAUGAUAUAUUACUGAACUAAAUGCAAUUUAGUGCUAGAAUAUAGGUCCAUCUGGACAUGGCUAUGGAUAUGACCUUAGAAGGUGCAUGACCUAUUAGACAUGAGAGGAUUUUUUCUUUUUUUCUUUUCUUUGUAAGAGGGUUUUUAUUUUUGAUCAUUCAACAAUGUAUGUGCUUUGUCACUUGACUCACUUCAAAGUUGUAUAUCUGUAACCAUUGUUAUCAUUUUGAGAUUCAGAUCCUAUGAUAGAGAUUCAGAUCCUAGGAUAGACAAUCAUGUCCUUGAAGCAGGUAGUAAAGAAAAGUGUUAAACAGAAGAGCAGAAGAAGUAAGGGAUCAAUUGGUGCAGGAGAGUAGAAGCACUAAGAAGAAGAAAUAAAGAAUAGCAGCAGAAAUAAUAAAAAAAACAAGCAUCUAAACCACUUUUUAGCUAUGAAAUUUCACGUCGUUCCCAUAUCGGACACACAUCGGAUACUGCUACAUACCAUAGUUAGUUAAUUCGGAUUCGGCAAAAAUUCGGUACGGAUAUAAUUCGGAUAGAAUUCGUCUUCUAAUUUUUAAAUUCGUUGAAAAAUACGGCUAAAAAACGGAUUCAUCAAUUAUUCGGAUACGUGAUUUAUACGGAUAUUAUACAUUUACUAAUUAAAAAUUCGGGAUAAAAAAUUCGGCUAUUAAAUUAAAUUUUUUUCUCUCAAGAUUUAUGCUAUUAGCAUAAAUAUUCAUAUCUUUUAAAAAUAUAAGAAUAAAUAGCUACAAAAUUAAGCUUAUUAAGUAAAAAUUCGAAAAGAAAUUUUUUUUUUUUUUUUGGUCUUAGGCGAGGUGUUUGGAAAGAUUUUUUUAUUUUUUCUUUGUGUAUUUUACUAUUUUGGGCCAGCCGGCCCAAGAGCCCAUGCGGGAGCGCAGGCAGGUGCGGGCGGCGCGGGCAGGCGCGCAGGCAGGCGCGGGCAGUGCGGGCCUGCGGGCUUGAUCCGUUUUUUUGGACCGAAUAAUUCGGCUCGCCGUAUAAUACGCGAAUACGUAUUUUUAGUCAAAAAAUCCCCUUUUUUUCUGAAUUUUUCCCAAAAAUUCGAAAAUGGCCGUUUAAUUCAGAUUUUCAAAAAUUCGCGAAUAAUUCGCGAAUAAUUCGCGAAUUAACUAACUAUGCUACAUACUCCAUACAUGUCCGACACGGGACUGAAGUACCCGACAUUUUUAAAAGUAAAAAAUAUCGGAUACUGCUCGGAUACGGGUAGGGGAUACAGGGGGAUACGGCUGGAUCCUUUUUUGGCCUAAAAUGAUCAAAACUCCAAAUUUUUUGUAAAGCCCAAAUCCUAGCCCGUUGGAAAUAAGGAAAAAAAGUGAGGGACAUGGCAAUCUCUCUUCAAUUCAUCAUUUUUUUUAUCUUUUUGUUCUUGGUUGGUGGAAGGUGCUCUCUUGCUAAUUCUAACUCCACACAAUAUUAAGCUAUGGUUCAGCCUUUUAUGGCUUAGCUUUUACCUUCUUUAGUCUAAUUUGCCAACCUAGCACUAAUCAAUAAGGACUAAAGAGUGAUUUUUUUCGCUCCUUUUAAAGUAUUAGCAUAUUUUCUCUUAUUACUAUUUAUAUAUUAGAAUCUAAUACAAUUUGAAUGUAUUAGAAAACAGACAUAUAUGAUGAAUGGCUAAUCUUCUAAUUUGUGCGACUAAAUAUCUAUAGUUUGAAAGGGACUGACUAUUGUUGACCUGGUACUCGCUCUGGUACCGGUUGUUGGGAUUCUGCACAGAAGCAUCAAAUCAGAUUUUUUUACCAUAAGCCUGUCUCCUCGGUAAGAGCUGAUACAACCACAAACGAAAGAAAAACAACUAGGAAAUACGGACGAAAUAAAAUUCAUUAACCAAAAGAAGAAUUACACGACUCCUCUACUACACAGAGAAGCUUAAACCGAGCCCUCUUUCUGAAUCUCUCUCACCCUUCUUUCGUCUUCUCAAAUCCAGAAGACUUCUCUCUUAUUCUAUGCGCCUAUACACAAAGCAUACCAAUGACUCACGGCCACGAAAGCCGCAAACGUCCUCUUGCACCCAUGCACUAGGUGCAUCCAAAAUCUACUACAAAUCUAAGCAACUCCUAACACUCUCCACCUUGGUUUGAUUUGUAGUCUUUAACUGCUACGUAGAGCUCACCACGCAAGCUCCAACUUGAGCUUGUCUCCUUCGUUUGAUGUCAAGCAUCCACAGCUCCAUCUUAAGCGACUUACCACGGACUUAAACGAAAUCGCUUUCGCUUGUCUAGCCCGUGCAGUACUCGCCUUCCUUAGCGAAGUGAGAAAGCCUACCUCUCUACUUGCUAAGUUAGGACCUACUCGUCCUAGACUAAAUACAAGAGAGAGCGAGAGUUGAAGAAAACUCUUCUAUUACUUUGAAGUAGAGGAUUACAAAAUGAAGAUUCUAAGUUGACGGGGUGGAGGCCAUAUCUAUUUAAAGGCCACUCGCCGCCCAUAAAGCAAAUGAAAAGGCGCCGCAAAGCUACAAGGCAAAAGAGGCUACGAGCUCCCAAGAGUUCUAAUAAAUACACCUUCUAGAAACCUAGAAACUCUAAGAGGCUCUUGACUCUUCGGCACUCGCCCCAUCAAUCUCGAGAUCCGCAAAGAUGCUUCUAGAAAAUUAGGCAAAACCUCCGACAGAUAUCCCCUUUGGAGUUUGAGAGGUUUGCAAAGGGAAAUCUUGGAGAAAAUUUCUAAGUCUUGACAGACUGCACCUCCGCGAUCUUUUGCAACUCAAACUGUUUUUGCUCCCGUUCUAACUGUGCUCCUGUUCAAAAUGUGUAAGUUUCCUCACUUGUUCGCCUCGCGUAACCAAUCUCAAUUUCGGACCCUCAUAGCUUCGCUUGAAGGCAAAAACUGGUAUCCCUUCAAGUCCAAUGUGCCCAACGAGAUCAUAUUGUGCUUUAACAUCAAUCGCUCCGAACGAUAUGUAACACUAUGCUCUAACAUCAAUCUUCUGCAAUGAUCCGUAAUCUAGUGCUUUCAUGUUGAUCUCUCCCGAGAUUGGUGACCCUAUGCUCUUAUGUUGAUCUCUCCCACGGAUCGAAAAACCUUGAGCUCUAAUACCAAUUGUUAGAAAUUUGGUACUCGCUCUGAUAUCAAAUUUUGAGAAUCUGCAACUCAGUUUGGUACCACCUACUGUGACCCGGUACUCACGCCGGUACAGAUUGUUGGGAUUCCGCAACGCAAGCAUCAAAUCAAGUUUUUACUUAUAAAUCCAUCUCCUCGGCAAAAGAUGUUAUAACCAUAAAAGAGAGAAAACCAACCAAAAAAUAUCGAGUGAAAUAAGAUUCACUACCCAAAAGAAAAAUGACACCUGACUCCUCUUCUACACAAAAAAGCUUUAACCAAGCCCUUUUUCUGAAUCUCUCUCAACCUUCUCUCGUUAUUUAUAAAUCCAGAAGACUUCUCUCUCAUCCUAUGCACCUAUGCACAAGAUAUACCAAUAUCCCACGGCCACAAAAACCACACAUCCUAUUGCACCCAUGCACUAGGUGCAUCUAGAAUCAUGAAUAUCUUAGCCAUGCCAUGUAGGUGUGGCUAAGCCGUACCACCACCAAUGCACAAGUGUUCUCUCACAUGCAUAUAUAUGUUCACCUAUAACAUACUCCAAUUCUAGUUCAAUUAGAUUUCUACUAUAAUUAAUAUUUAAAUCCUAAUCAAUUUAACUUCAACAGAUUUAAAUAUAUUUCCUAAUCUAACUAGGAUUCUACUACAAAUCUAACCAAAUCCUAACUAAGGCAUCUUAAUCAACAAUCAACACCAUUAAAAAUGAUCUCAGGUAUUUGAACUUUCUAGGAACCAAAUUUUGUAAUCUUUGGGAAUUACUUUACAUAAUCAAUAUAAAAGGAAACCAACAUUCAUUGUCUUUCUCUUAUUUAUAUACUCUUUUAUUAGUAGAUUAGGCACUCAAUGAUAAAAAUGAUGUGGAACCUAAAGAUGGGUAAAGCGCAAUUUACUUAAAAAAGAAUGUUUUCCAUGCAUGGGGUUAUAGGUGUACGGUUUCUAACCUUGCUCAACCGGGAAACGGGCUUUAUGGCAGUUUUCAACAAAUAAUAGACCAAAUAGCAUAACAGGUCAAAACAGCAAAAUGAACUAUUGUAGUUAAAACACUUCGUUUUUUUUAAAUUUUCCUAACCUUUUACUCUUCUUCUAAUAUUUUCCUUAUUGUUUAUGAUAUUAUUUCACUUCGAUCAUGAAUUCCCAUUACUAUUACACCAAAAAAGUGGGCAUCUGCUUCGGUCUAUCACAGCACGCCCUCCAAAUACCAGUAGUUAGAGCAUUAUUACAUAAAUAGAUUAAUUCAUUACAAAAAAACUGAGAAGCUAUCCAACAGCUCCUAUAAGAAAAGAACCAGAGUGAAAAUAUUCAUGAGCAAGGACUCCGUGAGAUUGGAGAGAGAAUGGAAGAGGGAGGACGAAUAGGGAGGAACAGAUGGAAGACAAGCGAGCAGGAGGGAGGGAGGGGCAUUUUGGAGAUUUUCAAAAAACAAUAUGGCCCAAGCUGCUCAAACGAAGAGUGACCAGCGGUCGCUAUGUAGGAAAUAAGUGGAUUAGUUUACUUGCAAAAUAGGCAUCAUAGAGACAGAAAAUAUUGAACAACAAAAUCAAAUGUGGUGACAUUUAAUUAGAUAUUUUAAGCAUACUAAAUGAGCAGGCAUUCUGAAGAUGCACAUGACAACGAGUGUACAAUGUUAUAUCGUAUUCAUAUUCAUAUCUACAUUAUAUUCUCACCUUAGGCUCGGAAAGUGGUGAGACGGGGAAAGAAUUUGCUCUCUUUGGAUCAUCAUCAGAGGAACAAUCUGAACAGAGAAAGUGCUCUAACAUUUUUGCUUGUUCAAUAGUCAUGCCCAUGCAAGAAGGAUGAAACCUGUAAUCAUGGUGUAGAAGAAUUAUGAUAUCAUAAAGCUGCUAGGGACCAUUAGAAAACAUGAAUUCUAUAGAGACGCAUAAAAAGAUCAGAACACAAUGAAAAGCUUAUACACUAUCUUAAAUCAACGAUAAUAGGGGCAACGUAAAAGCAAGCUAGUUUGAGGGAGACAAUCAGCAAAUUUAAACAUAUGGCACGAUGGUGCAAGCCAGAAGCAUAAAAGAUCAACCAAAAGACAACCAUAAGUUAUUCCAAGCAUCCAGGAAAUAAGCAAAACAAGCAGAUUCAUGCAUGUAGCAUUUCCAAAAUGCAGUGCUGCAAUAAAUAGUAAAAAAUAGAAAAAAAAAUGCCUGAAUGUUUUCAUAAAACCGGUAUACUUCACCUGCAACAGAACCAGUGGACAGUAUGUGUGCUGAAAUAUUGAUUAGCUUAGCUUGCUAAGUCUCUACUAUGUUUUACAACCAUGAUCUGCCCAGAUUGACAUUUGCACUAAUUUCUGGGGACUGAAGUGACGAGUUGCAGAUUAAUUACUUGCUGUGUGAUGGUAGAUGUUUAACAACAUGGUUUCAGUUACAUAAUUCCAACAAAAUUUGACAGUCUAAAAAUUGAAAUAGACUUUAAACUGUCAUAACGAAUCAAAACCUAGGACUAUAUUGCGAAUUUCAAGAGUUAAAGGAGUUUUCUGCAAAACUCAGCAGCACGCACAAUGGUGUUGAGGGCCCUGAGGGUCGGUUGUGGAGCGGCCACGGAACAGAGUGAAGAAUGAAGACAGAAGAUGAAGAGGUACCACGUAUACGAAGAAAUAUGGACUAACAGAUAGAUAACAAGGAGAGAAGAAUUAAGAAGAAGAAACCAGGCUUUACCUCAGCAAUCCAAAAAACAGAGAGAGAAAGAGACUGCAUAUAUCAAGAAAUGUUGGUCCAAGAUAUGUAAAGAAGUCCACUUAUAACUUCCACUGGACAUGUAGAUCAAUAUUAAACAGACUUACAUAUUAAGCUCUUCCAAAGUCACACGAAUCUUUGGAAUGCUCUCUUGGAUGUCAAGUUGCUAUUCCCCAAAGUUGGUCAUUUGGAGAAGAAAAGCCUAAUCAAAACUCACAAUUUACUGAAUUCGGUUAAGCUGUGAGAAGUUCAAACAUUGGGAGACUUUCUUUGUUGAUUCCAGCCCAUUAACCUAAACUCGCCAUUACUCCGCAGACUCAAAUAGAGAGAAGUAAAUAAGAUGAAUCAAAAUAUGAAUCAACUAACUGUGCCUAACCUAACCUACAUCUAGGGGUGCAAAUUGCAUACACACCCCAGUGAAGGCAAUUCUGACAACCCCAAGUCAGUCUCUAAAUGGAGACGCUCACAUGGCACUAGCUUCAAAUGGUGGGUUUCACCUAAUACAGCAGUGGUUAAGUUAAAAAUAUUAAUAUAUCAUCUACAUAUUGGAUCACAUACAUGUUAGUUCCAAAUAUUAAUAUAUCGUCUACAUACAAGCACAUUAUUACUAGGGGUGGAAACGAGCCGAGCUCGAGCGAGCUUACCUCAGCUCAAGCUAGGCUUGAAAUUAAUUUCGAGCCUAAAUUUAGGCUCAAGCUUGGCUUGAAAUUAAUUCGAGCCGAGCUCGAGCGAGCCUAACUUCGAGUCAAGCGAGCUCGAGCCCUAAACGAGCUGCUUGAAAUUCUUAACAUCAUGCAAUCUAUACUUUAAUUUUUAUAAAAUAUUAUCUAAAAUUUGAUAUAAAAAAUAUCUAAUAGUUUAACAUAUAAAAUAAAUGCAUGAAAUACAAUAUUACAAUACUAAAAUAAUUAGGAAAAGCGACUCUGCGAGGAAGGGAAAAAGAGAGAAAGAGGGUAAUUAGAGUAGGAUUUUGCUGGUUUGGUUUUGUGGGCCCAAUAAUCUAAAUUCUAUAUACAUAUAAUUAAAAUACAUAAUAUAUAUUAUUUUAUAUAAUUAAAAUAUAUAUUAUAUAUAAUUAUAUAUAUAGAGAGUUUGGUUACUAUAUAUACUUUUAUGAGUAUAAACCCCUUUAUACUUAUAAAUUUUCAGCCGUUGGAUGUGCGAUUAGAAUGAUAGUGGUCCUCUAAGAUUGAGUGAAUGGUUCGUUGAAUAGUAUGAUUUAACGGAUGAAAAUGGCUAAAGGGAUAGAUCUAACAGCAGAAAACUCGAUAGCACCAAAUGCUUGGUACUAUCGAUAGUAUAAUAGCCGAACUCUAUAUAGAUAUAUAUAAGCAGAUCUAACGGCAAAAAACUCAAUAGUACAAAGCGCUUAGUACUAUAGAUAGUAUAGAUAGUAUAGUAGCCGGACUAUAUAUAUAUAUAGAGAGAGAGAGAGAGAGUCCGACUACUAUAUUAUCGAUAGUACUAAAUGCUUGGUACUAUCGAAUUUUAUGCCGUUAGAUCAUAUUAUUCAACUAACCACCCACUCAACCCUAGAGGAUCACUGUCAUUUUAACCGCACAUUCCUUCAUCCAAAGGUCGAAAACCUAAUAGCAAGUGGUUGGUACUAUUAAUAGUAUAGUAGACUAUAUAUAUAUGUAUAUAUAUUUCGAGCUUUUCCAGCUUAAUUCGAGCGAGCCGAUUAAUACUCAAGCUCGACUUGAAAUUAAUUUCGAGCCUAAAUUUAGGCUCAAGCUUGCUUGAAAUUAAUUCGAGCCGAGCUUGAGCGAGCCAAAUAUCGAGCCGAACACGAGUCGAACACGAGCUGGCUCGCUCAUUUGCCAGCCCUAAUUAUUACAACUUGAUCACCUAUUCUUUUACUAUGAACACAUUCAAUAGACAUAUUAGUUUCAAAUCCAUUCGAAAUUAUAAAAUUAUCAAAUUUUUCAUGCCAUUGUUUAGGAGCUUGCUUAAGGCCAUAUAAAGAUCGGCUUAAUUUGCAUACUUUAUUUUCUUGGUCGGGCAUUAUAAAUCCUUCUAGUUGCUCCAAAUAGAUUUCUUCUACUAAUUCUCUAUUUAAAAUUGCGGUUUUAACAUUUAUUUGAUGUAUAAUUAAUUUAUGAAUUGAUGCUAGAGCUAAUAGUGUUCCAAUUGUUGUAGUUCUAGCUACUGUAGCAUAAACGUCAAAAUAUCAACUCCAGAAUUCUGGGUAAAUCCCUUGGCUACUAAUGUAACUUUAUAUUUUUCUACAGUAUUAUUUGAUCUUAAUUUCUUGGCCAAUUUGCAUAAAAAAUCCACAAAUUUUGAGCUUUUGCAAAACUGGACCGCCUUUUUUGAUUUUGCAGAUUCGAUCUAAAUUUUCAGCAAACUGACCAAAAUACCCUUAUUAUUUUUUCUCUCUCCUCUUUUUUUUCUCUCGUUCAUUUUUUUUCUCUCUCCGAAGAAGGCAGCAGAGGCAGCGGCGGAAAUGGCCCACCUCGCCUCUCACCCUCAUGCCCUCGCCCUCGCCCUCGCCCUCGCCCGCGCAUCGCCUUUCUCACCUCCGACCCCGCCGAGGCCGUGCCAUGACUCUUUUUUUCUCCUUCUUCGACCCUCCUCCACCGUCUCCGACGACGACGCCUCUCUCGCCCUUCCCUGCCAUUCUCUUCCUCUCCCUCUGCCUCUUCCUCUGCCUCCUCCGCCGCCUCCGACGACGACGCUUCUCCGCCGACGCCAACGCCGCGGAGGUCGCUGUGGCGCCACAGCCUCGGAGCGGGGGGUCCUUAGUUGCGGCGUCGCCAACGCCGUGGCCGUUAGCGGAGAGGCAUGACCAAAAAAAAUUAUAGAAAAAGGAAGAAGAAAAAAAUAAAGACCAAACAUUAUAUAAGGAAGAUGAAGAUAAAAUUACACUAUUUAAAAAAAAAUUUGCACUGUUUUAAAUGAAAGUUGCACUCUUUAAGACAGAAAUUACACUCUUUGAGAUCAGAUUUACACUCUUUAGGACAAAGUUGCACUCUUUAAGUGAAAUUUACACCAUUUCUCUUUUUCUUCUUCUUUCUCAUCCUCUUUUCCCUCAUCCUUAUCCUUCUCCACCCCAGUGAAAAGGGUAGGAAGGGCGGUAGCGACGCAGGAGCGAGCGCACGUCACCAACGACGUCAUCGCUGAACGCGCGGGCGCAAACCCCGCGGCGGAUGGCAUGGUCGUCCAAGUAUUAUCUCACAUCCCUCAAUAUUAACCAUGAUGAAUACAAUUUCCUCUUGGUAUUCAUCUUGCAUUGUAUGUAUCCCGAAUUUAAUAUAUUUGGAUUUGUUAACAUUGCCAUCAUAAGACACAAGAUAAGGAGAAAAACAAUGGCAUGGAAUAAGGUCUAAUUUCUCUAUGAAUUUUUUUGAAAUAAGGUCAUGAGAAAACUGAUGAUUAAUUUGUACUCGACAAGGAACACCAUCAAAUCUCAUAGUAGUUUGAAAAGAAGAAGUAAAAGCAAUAGAAUUUAUGUUUUGCAGAAGGGUAACAGAUUGAGAUAUAACAGGAGGCAACGGUGUGACAAGGAUGUUAGCGAGAAGUAGUGGGUAGUGAGGUUCAGAAUGAAUUAGGUUUUCAAGGAGUUGUUUGAUUUCGCAAAUUGUUGGUUAUUUGCGGCUUGAAGAGAUUGCAAAUCAGCUUCUAACUUUAUCAAAACAACUAUGAUAGAAAGCUAAAUUCUUCAAACAUUGAACUAAGGUCUACAUUUGCAGCGUUUUGAAAAUUAGUUUCUUGAUAAACUUUUGCUCUGAUACCAAAACUGAUGCAGGACAAAUUAGGAAAAAAACUCUAAUCUACCUUGCAAGUGAUGAGCCCAAAAUCAAUUUAAAACCAAAUUUAGAAUUUUCUAGGAAUUUUAGAUUAAUUUUCAUAUUUUUUUUAAUUUAUAAAAAAUUAAUGAAUUUAAAUCAAUUUUUGAAAUUAAAAAAGGAAAAAUAUAAAAAGUAGUAUGGCUUUAGCAAGAAGGUUCCGACAAUUUUUUUUAUUUUGUACUUUCUUUAAAAGAAAAUUAAAAGACUAUCGAAGAAAUAGCCAAUAAUAGAGAAUCAAAUUUACAAGAAGCAUAAGAGAAAAAUAGAAGAAAGGAGAAAAGAUGAGGAAGAGAAGAUAGAAUCUUUUAGAAAGAAGAAGAUUACCAGCAUACACGGCAAGGGGGGAGAAAAUACCACGGCCGCAGUCAAAUCAUAAACACCAAACUAAUUCAUCAUAACUCUUCUCUAAAUUACCAGCAUAGGCUAUAUUUAUACAUUCAAAAUAUAAUCGUAAUCUAAAACAAAUCCACGAUUUUAGGGAUCUCUUACUAAUUCGAAAAUAUCUAAAAAGACCUAAUUUAGAGAUCUACUCCACAUGAUAAAUCCAAAAAAUCUUUAAAAAGAAAAUAAAUUAACAAACAAAAUAAUUCCGAAAAUUAGAAAAAAUUGAAACCUAAACGACUCAAUCAACCCUAAUGCAAAAAUUGACUCAAAUAAAUAAAAGAUGACUCGACUGAACCCUCUUUUGAGUCUGGUUCCGCAUCAACUUCAACUUAAAAGCAGUUCACAAAAAAUUAGCACAAGAUAAAAUUGAUGCUAAUAACCAAGACAAGCAGCAAGCAAAAAGAUUACAAAUUAAUCGUUUGGUUUAAAAUUUAUAUAAAGAAAAAUUAAAUAAAAUAAUUUGUUUAUUUAUUAUUUGUUUCCUAGGAGAUCAAAAUAUAGUUGGAUCUUGGCCUCAAGUUGCCAUUGGUUCGGACACUAAUUAGAGGGAAUCUACGACAGCCGAGAUUUAGUUCUUUUUUUCCCUUUUUUGGUUUUUAAAUAUUAUAUAAUAUAUGUAAACAGCACAAAUAAUAUUACCAAGAAAGAUAUGACAAUAUUCGAAUUUUCUUUUAUCUAUCUAAAGAUUCCUGAAACCAAUUAGGAUAAUAUUCAACAGAAUAGUAGAUGAAAAAAUACCAAUUUAUCUAAACGUCAAAAAUUUAAUUUUCCUAAUUAGUAUAUGGGCUCAUCUACUUACAAAAUUAAUUAGGCUGCUUUAUUAUUCAAAUCCGACAGAGAGAAACUUAAAUAUUGUUUAAACCAAAACAUAAUGUAGGUAAGGGAGAGGAUUAGUUAAAUAAUGAGAGAACUCGAUAUAUAGCAGAGAUUCACCAACUUAGUGAUUUUGCUCGCAAAGCCCGUGCGAUGCCCGCCUUCCUACUCGAAGAUGGGAAAACCUGCCUUGAUCUUGCUAGUCUGGACAUACUCACCCUCAAAUACUAAGUGCAAGAAAGAGAGACGAGAGAGAGAAAGAUAGAAGAUCUGCGAAAAACUAAGUACUCUACUUAGAAACAAAAAUAACAAAUACACUCUCCCUCUUGUCAACUUUGGCGUCAGCCAUUCUCCUAUUUAUAGCCCUCUAGGAUACAAAGAAAACUACUUGCGUUAAUGCAAAGUGAACCCGCCCAUGCCCUUUGGGUUAACACAAGACCGUUUCUUGAUGCUUUAAUUCCUGGAGUUAAAAUAUGCUUCAUCUCCCACAGAAGCUUCUUGAACGUUGUCUCUUUGUUUGCCCGCUUUCAGUUUCACAAAUGUUCAAGGACAUAAGCCAGAAUUUUUCCAAGUUCCUAACAUUCUCCACAACCUACUGCGCAUAGCGCUGUGCUAAUCCCGGUCUGCGUAGUGCUGCUUGCAGUCCACCGUGCCUUCACACUCGUGCGGCCUCGAGCACCACUACUGCAAUCCGCUUUUACUCCCGCACCAGCCCCCAGUGCCUUGCCCCUCUGAGAACAAACACUUGUCAACUCAUUGUGCAGAGAAAUCUAUCAUCGAUCCCAAACCGUCGAGUGUUCUUGUCCUUCGCAACACGCACGCGCACACUCUCGAGCUACGGGCUUCCAUGGGUCCUCUCAGGCUUUUCUCGGCUUUGUGCUUAACAGAGCGACGCACCCCUCGAUUGGGUGCUAGUUGCUUCAGUAUCUCCAAAGACUUUAUAGCCUCUCCUCUGUUUAGGUCCUCCUCGAGGCCCACAUGAUAAGCAACCUUCUUGCACUUCACCUUCUCGUAAAGCUGCAGGGCUGUAAGGGUCUGAUUCUUCGUCGAUGAUUGGUCGCGCCCCUUUGCAUCCCAUGUAUCACUGUGCUCUCCCCCACGUUCGGUUUCACUCGCCUUCAGUGGCUUACCACAAUCACCCUUGGUCCGCACAUAUUCAGGCAAUUUCUCCGCCAACGUUAUCACCAAGUUCAGAUCCUUGACGCUUUGUCCCCAAGAGCUCCUUGUUCAUCCAUGGUUGAAGUUAGACCUGGCAAAUAGGCGGAUUGGGUAAUCCGCGAGCGGGUCAUUGUAUUCGCGGGUCAUAUAGGUAUAGGUAAAAUUUACCCAUAUUUUGAGUAAUCAACAUCUUUAUCCAUACCCGCCCACGGGCGGACGGGUGGUUAUGCAGAUAACCUGCAAGAUUUUCUUUUCUUUUUUGCUCCCAUUUAUAAAUACACUAAUUGAGAACCAAAUGAAGGCCUCCCCUUAUUUAGGAGGGUUGUAGGGCCCACAUAUAAUUUUUUAAUUUUUUAAAGUAUUAAUUGCACAUUGGGCCCCAACCUUUCCACUAUUUUUUUAUUUUGGUCCCUAAUCUUUUUUAAAAUUGAAUCUAAACUUUGAUUUCAAACUUAAAUUUUUUAUUUUGAUUUUGCUAUUUGAAUUUGCAUUCAAAAUUUGAAUUUGAAUUUUAAAUCUAAAUAUGUAAUUUAAAUUUUAAUUAAAAUUUAGACAAAUUAGGACAACUAGCUUUAAGCUAUCAAGUUGACUUAUUUUUUUUUUUAAUCAUGGCAAAUGCUUUAUUCCAUAAGAGGAGAUGCAAGAUAUUAGGCCAUUAGCAAGCUGCAUCUAAUGCAUAUUUUCUACUAUUUUUAAUAUGAAUUAUGAUAAGGCCUUUAACUAUAUAAUUAUGAUAGUCAAAUAUAAAUUAAGACUUUUAAAAUUGUGACUAUUGCCUCAUGGUGCUUGAUUGAUAAUGGCCUAAUUCGCACGCUAUUAUCUUAAUCUUGAGCUAGAGAAUUAAUUUUUUCCUAAUAUAUAAUAUUAGAAUAUUUAUUUUGGUAGUCGAACAUUUUNUCAAGACACCAAUUUGUUAAUUUAAAAAAAUUAAAAAAGAACUAUAUAAUUAUGAUAGUCAAAUAUAAAUUAAGACUUUUAAAAUUGUGACUAUUGCCUCAUGGUGCUUGAUUGAUAAUGUAAAUAGUUCUUUUUUAAUUUUUUUAAAUUAACAAAUUGGUGUCUUGAAAUGAGAGAAUUCAACUUUUGAAUUUCUUUUUUUGGAAGAUUUUUUUAUAUCAUUUUUUUCCUCCAGUUAAAUAAUAUUUUUUAGUUCAUGUGAGUGAUAUUUUGCUAAUUCGCACGCUAUUAUCUUAAUCUUGAGCUAGAGAAUUAAUUUUUUCCUAAUAUAUAAUAUUAGAAUAUUUAUUUUGGUAGUCGAACAUUUUUGCAGUAUAAAAAAUAUCUAUUUCAAUUUUCAAAUGCCUUUUAAUUAGUCUUAUUUUUAAGUGCUUCUGAUAACUGCUUAUUGAUUCCUUCAUUAACCUAAAAUUUAGGAAUCAAAUACUAUUAGUUGUAUCUGUAGUGAUAAAAGUUAAUGAGGUCUUUCUUUCAUCAUCAGCGACAACGAUGAGGAUGCUACCGCCAAUUCUACCAAAGAUAGUGUUUUCACUCCAAUUAAUCUUUUUAUAUUUUUUUUUGUAAAUUCUACGUUGAUGAUAAUAGAAAAAUAUUACGCAUUUUUUUAAUAUUACAAUGAUCUUUUUUUAUUUUAAACUGGUUUAUUUAUUUUACUUAUUUGGUUUAGAUACUUUCAGAAAGAAAUAUAGUUUAGUUUCAUUCUUUAAUUUUUAAUUGUUCAAUACUACCCGUCGCAUCGCGCGGGUUCCUUAACUAGUAUUUUUUAAAUGUAAACCACACACACACACAUAUAAUUUUUAAAAGCAUAACACUACUUGUUGUUUGAAAUAUGACAAUAUACGAUAACAAUAUAAAAUCUUAAAGCCGAUAAAUUAUAUAAUAUAGAAAUAUUUGCUCAUCCCAAAUUUUUAUGAUACAAAAUUAAUGAAGUUUCUUUGAUUAUAGAGUUAAUAUCAUAAAGAUUAUAUAUUUUUUUAAUUAAAAAAAUAUAUGCGGGUACUCUUGGGUACUCAUGGGUUGUCUAAAAUGCUCACAACUUAACGGAUACCCAUCCAUUUUACCAUAAUUUUUUGGGUAAGAAAAACAAGUAUCCGUAGCCACGAAUUUGCGGGUAAUCGGCGGGUAUCAGCGGGUACGGUUAGAGAUUGCCUGGGCUAGUUGAAGUCCAUCUAGGAAAAAGAAUAGCUGAUCCUCAUCGGCUAUGUUGGUGAUCACCAACAUUAACUUAGAGUAUUUCUGGACAUACUCCUUGAAUGUUCUCGUGUAUUUGAGCCGUCGAAGUUGCCUUUGCGCAAGAUAUUUGAAGUGCUCUUGGUAGAACUACACCGUGAGCUCGCACACAAAGUCCUCCCACGACUUCAGUUGGCAUUGGCCCUUCUCAGCCUUCGUCAAUUGGCAACGCCACCACAGCAUAGCGUCGUCAGUGAGGUGCAUGAAUGCAACCUAGACUUUUUCCUCCUCUUCGUCCAGCCGCAACGCCUUGAUGUAGCGCUCCAUAUGCCACAAGAUGUUGAUCGCCUUUUGAUCAAGCGUGCCCUUGCAUUCUUGAGGCUCAAGGACACGAACCUCUGGAGCAUACUGUAACACUCCAAUAGUCCCACAUCGGAUUGAAAAGGGGUUCUGAUUGGAAAUAUAAGAAGCUACGCAUCCUAAUAAUAAUAACUGGGCUUGAGCAUUUUGGGCCAGUGGCUUGGGCCCAACGAGUUAUUACUGCUAGCAAGUCGGGUCAUUACAUUUAGUAUCAGAGCUGAACACCAGCCGAAAGUGAGAACUAAGUGCUAUGCAGGAAAAAGUGCUACACCAUGGAUUUGAUGGUAGCCAUCUCAAUACAUUUAGUAUCAUAACUAAACACCAACCGGAAGUGUGAGAACUAAGUGCUAUGCAGGAAAAAGUGCUACACCAUGGAUUUGAGGGAGCCACCUCAUUAUAUUUAGUAUCAGAGCUGAACACCAGCUGGAAGUGUGAGAACUAAGUGCUAUGCGAAAAAAAGUGCUACACUAUGGAUUUGAUGGGAGCCACCUCUAGAAUUUCACAUCUCCUGGUAAUUAUAGUCUAUAUGUCUGUGAUUGAGUUUGAACUUGAUGAUAACGUCAGGGACUAAACGGGGAGGGGGUGUAAGAAUGUAACACUCCAAUAGUCCUACAUUGAAUUGGAAAAGGGUUCUUAUUAGAAAUAUAAGAGGUUGCGCACCCUAUUAUUAAUAACUGGGCUUAAGUAUUUUAGAUUAGUGGCCUGAGCCCAACAAAUUAUUAUUGCUAGCAGGUCGAGUCGUUUCAUUUGGUAUUAGAGUCGAAUACCAGCGGAAGUGUGAGGACUAAGUGCUAUGUAGGACAAAAUGCUACACCAUGGGUUUGGUGGGAGCCACCUCUUGAAUCCGCAAGUGUCACCUCUGUAAUCUCACAACGCCUGAUAAUUCUGGUCUAUAUGUAUGUGAUCGGUUUUGGACCUAACGAGAACGUCAAGGUCUAAACGGGGAGAGUCUAUAAUACCCCAAUAGUCCAGCAUCAGAUUGAAAAGGGGUUCUGAUUGGGAAUAUAAGAGGACGCGCACCCUUGUAAUAAUAACUAGGCUUAAAUAUAUUGGCUCGAUGGUUUGGGCCCAACGAGUUAUGAUUGCUAGCGGGUCGGGUCAUUACACAUAUUCCCUUUGUGGUUUAGGACCACGCACCACCGCCCUCUCAAGGAUUGCCACCUGCAUCUUAAGGUUCUCGACAAGGUCCUCAACCAGCACCUUCCACUCAUCCUCGCGACGGACGAGGUCGUUGCGAAACUGCUCGAGCUGUUGGUAGAAAGUUGCCAUGGCAGCUGCGACGCUGUCCUUUAUGGCAUGCUGCCCCGCCUUCAUCAUCCCUACAUGCUAGGACAGGACGGAGUAGUGCUCUUCUGCUCUCGAAACAGCAUCCUCCAACGAGCUCACGCAGUCCUCGAGUGAAACGGACUCCCUCGCAUAGGUCUGCGGCUCCUUGCUCUUACCGCGCUUGGACUGCCUAGGUAGUUUGCCGUAACAUUAAUGAUGGCAGCAUGGUUUCUCACUCGAAGCAGCUUUGAUACCAACUGUCACGAACUUAGUGAUUUUUUUCGCAAAGCCCGUGCAACGCCCGCCUUCCUACUCAAAGAUAAGCAAACCUGCCUCGAUCUUACUAGUCUGAACUUACUUGCCCUCGAAGACUAAGUGCAAGAAAGAGAGACGAGAGAGAGAGACAACUGUUCUGCGAAAAAAUGGAACCAGCGGAGAAAAGUGGAAUGAGAAAAAAAAUAACAAAGGAAUUUUCUCUUUCUAUCUGUUGAGUUAGUUCUCUUGUAUUUAUCCUUUUAAUCCCUUUUUAUAAUAAGCUGACAGUCCAAAGGACCGUUGUAGGACGUUCCACUAAAGUAGAAUAGGCGAUCCCACAUCUUGUGAGAAAGCUGGGUACAUUACCCCUUUUCCGAAUAUAGGAGAGAAAGGAUACGCGGGCCUCUUUCUCAUAUUAAAUAUAUUAUAUUUAAAUUGAAUUUUAACUUAAAUUUUUUAGUUAUCUAUUAGAUUUAAAUCAAAUCUUUCAAAUUUAACAAAUUACAACAGGUGUAUCCCCAUCUCUAAUACUAAAAUGAAUCAUGAUACAUCAUCAAAAAGUAGACAUGGCCCCUUGAAUUUGCCUUCUUCCUUAGACAAGUAGCUCUUCUGAUAGUGUAGGCUAGACAUGUUAGAGAAAAUUCAAAAUUUUAUUUGAGUUUAUUUAUCCAUUCAUUUAUUCAUUAUAUAUUUAUUAUUUAUUUCUUCUAUUGAAUAUUUAUUUGUUUACUUAUUUAUUCUUUUAUUUUUAAAUUUUUAAUUAAUAACUAAAUAAAUCAUUAACGUCACAUCUUGGAGCGGACAUUUCGUGCGACGUUUCGCACGAACAUCACACGUGAUGUGGAGUCAACGUUGCGUCAACGUUCGACUCCAACACCCACCUCCCUAUAUAAAUGCAUCUUUUUCUACUAUUGUUCAUGUGACUCAUGAAUAUUGUAGAGAAGAGAGAAAUAAAAAAAUGGAGAGUUCAUUUCCCUUUUAAAUUCUAAUUUAUAAUUUUCUUACUAUUCUCUUGAUUUCUCUAAUCACCGAGUGUAAAGAAAGUUCAUCAACCUUCGCCAUAAUCAUGUUUGAGAUGGAAUUCCGGUUGUACUUUGGGGUGGUGUUUCUGGUUAAAUCUGCAAGAAGGACAGGAAUAUUCCUUAGGGCAGUGCUACGCACGCUUCCAGAUCAAUUAUUUGUCUGCUUCCUUUUAAUCAACAAUUUUAGAAUUUUUUGUAGUGAUUUUCUUGUGAGUUGAUUUAUUAAUUCUUUAUCACUAAAUUAGUUAGAUAAUUUAAUCAUAAUCGGAUUUUCAGUACAAUUUUUCCUAACAAAGUCAAUCCUACUUGUUCCUUCAUGUUCUCAUUUAUCUUGAUCCCUGAAUCUCGUGCUUUAGAGAAUUCGAUUACCGGACUUGGACUUAAAUCCUCAUAAAUCACAAAAUUGUAUGAUUGUUAAGAUGAUGUCAAAUAACUGCACCUCUGUGUGAUCAUAGAUUAUGGUCAAGAUUUUCAAGUUAAACUUAUUAAGCUUUAAACAGAUUAAUUGUUUAUCAAAUCCUAUAGAUCUAAAAUUUAUAAUACUAGAGCCAGAUUUUAUUCCUUGUCCAAAUUGAUAUCCAAAAUUUGAAUAACUGAGAAAACAGGAAGAGGAAAGAUGAAGACUUAUUAAGAAGAAAAAUGAAGAUUGUUUCAGGAACAUAAUUAUUGUAUAGUAAGCUACUCAUGAAGCUAAAAGAUUAGAUUCACGAAAGAAAAGAAGAAAUGAUAGCUGGUAGCAGAAUGCAAAAUUUGAAACUAAAGAAUCGAAUUCUUAGCUUCAGUCUUAAAAGCUAAAAAAGUUCGGAGAGCCCCUCAGCUCUCCAAAUACAUCAUUUUUGGGAUAGAUCCCUAUUUUUUCUUAACACUUACUUUUAUAGAUCUAAGAUAUUCCUAAAAUUGGACAAAAUCCUUUGCAAACAGAAACUUGUGACCAAAACAAUGUACGGUAGCAAGAAAUAUAUGACUGCUACAGAAAUAUCAAAGUUUUUCCUAUCAACAGAAGUAAAGCAUCCCCAUACAGCAUCGACCAUACACUUAUUAUAGUGAGAAAAAACACUAACAUGUCGAGUGAAUGAUAACACGUUCCUACACAAAAUCCUAUAUAGUCAGGUGAACCCAAAAUUCUAACACUCAACGAACUAAAAAGAUUCCCCAAAUUUCCAGAAAUCUCCAGAUGCAGAUAUAUGUCCAGUAUCAUUCCAAGGUUUGCCUUGACUCCACAUGGAUGAAAUAAUAUCAGAUUCGAUACAAUAUUGGUACAUUGCCUAACAUUGAAGAAAUUACUAGGAAACCAUCAUUAUUUCUUAUGUUGAUAAGCUAAACAAGGGGCCGUUUGGUUCAAGAUUUAUAAUAUUCCAGAAAUGUUGCACACCUUAUAUUUGGAAUGACAAGUUUAUUACUAAUGUAUCAAGCCACUUGGACUGGGAUGUUGUUAAGAACUAGUAUAUUCUUACUAAUGGACCAGUAAUGAUUCCCAUCAAGCAUGGAAAUGAGAACACCUCCUAACGCAACCCAUCAUAAUCCAGUACUCCUAGAUUUGACUAUUUUCAAUCGAAAAUAUGAAGAAUUAUCAGAAUGUAAUAAACCGUGAACCAAAUAUGCCCUAAUGCCCUAAUUUCCACAAUGGCGCAAAAAUUAAACCAAGACGAAGAUAAGAAUAUAAAGGGAAGCAGCAAUUUGAAGAACUUACCAGUCCUUGCAUCCCUCACACUGGACCAUGAGAUCGUCGGGAUUAUACGGCAUCUCGCACUUACAAUACCUUCAAAACAUGAGUAGCAGAUGGAGAUGAGCUGAAAAUCAGAGAACUAAUAAACGAAGAGCAGAGCGAGAGAGAGAGAGUGUGUGUGUGCGUGAUGGAUAUACACGGCGACGCGAUCGGGGGUGAAGCCGCCGGUGGCGGCCUUGUACUCGAAGCGGCAGAAGUAGUCGUCGGCGCCGACGUUGUCGAGCUUGGUGUAGGUCUUGAAGGCGUGGACGGUGCACUUGCCCUCGAUGGUGUGGGCGCUCUGCACGUCGUAGUGGUCGGAGAGGAAGAGCUCCUUGGCGCCGUGGAACUGCCGGCGGCCCCCGAUGGACUCCUCGGGCCGGUAGUACCACCGCACCCGCACCUUCACGUUCCCGCGGUGGUCCGCCUCCAUCCCCUCCACCCGCGCCACGUACGGCGGCUUCUCCGUGUCCGACGGCCGCAUCAGCACGCACUCCCCGACUGCCCCCCCGCCGAAAAAAAGAGACUAUUGACCGCCGUCACUCUCGAAAAAAAAAAAAACAAGAUGCUGCAGGUAGUAGUGAAACACAUGGAUAGACGGAUGGAUCUUUUACCUCUUACGAUUUUAUUGGUGCCCUUGAUGGAGUAGGAGUCGACAUCCUUCUUUCCCGGCUUCGUCUUCGCCAUCUAGCGCCAAUUUUUCUCGGUUUUUGUGUUUGCAGAUUGGGAGUGGGAAAUGGGGAAUGGGGAUGGUUUGGAGAGGAGACCGGCUAGGCUGUCAUGUCGUUACCAAUCUUCUUCGUCUGAAUGCCCAACAAAAUGGGAAGGGGAGGGAGGGCAGACUGCUGACUGCUGUGCGCUGUGUUCCGACAGCAGGCUGCGCCGGCCCUUUUUCCGAAUUUGGGCGCAGGAUGGAUGGGAUGAUGAUGCAUGGAGACCCAUGGGUUACAUGGGCAUAUAAUAAAAUAGUACUAGUGUAAGCAUUCGCGCGAUGCAGUAAAAUUUUUUUUUAGAAAAUGUAUAUAGAAAAAAUUUACUAUUUACCAACCCUAAAAGAAGAUAAAAAAUCAGAUUUAUUAUUUAUCUAGUAAAAACUGAAUAAAUUUAAGUAUUCGAUCUCAUCGCAACCAAAUGUAACUUUAAAAGAUCCCAAUAUAAAAUCAUCUACAAAGUCAUAAUAUUACAUACAUCGUUUCGAAGUAUAAUACUUAGUACUGAUGGCAAAACAAUACCGCUUCUUUACUCAAUAGUAUUGUUAUUCCUCUGUCUGCCUCUUAAGGUUCUUGCAGCUCUUAUCGGCCCCUUUCCUUAUCUCUUAGCGGCCUUUUGCUCUCGUCCUGGGCAGCAAAGAAUGUGAAGUCUAGGACACCGUCGAAAAGGUUGAUGUGCCGUGAAUCGAAGGGCGGUGCCACCUCUUCCGGCAUAGUGGCGGUAGCGACGACAAUGGCAAAGGAGGAGGAGACAAUGGCGAGGCUGCAGACUUGGCGGAGGCACUCGAGGCGGUACUCGACACCGUGGUGGCGGGAUUGCUCACGCUUGAGCUGCUCCUUAUGCACCGCGACCUCAUCUUUAUGGCACAUCUUUCUUGGGGUUCUUGUAGUUGUAGACGUUCAACCACUUCUGCGGUAGAAUGUUGUACCCUCUCAUCUCUCUAAUCUCAUCACUUACGGACAUAAGUCGAAGGGCAACUGAAAAAAAAAAAAAAGAGUAAAUAUAAUAGAAGACAAAGGAUCAUUGAAAAAAAAUAAAGUAAAUGUAGUUUUUAAGAGAGGAAAAGAAACUACUCAAAUAAGAUGAAGAGACAAUUGGAAAAACCAAAAUAAAUAUAGCUCUUAUGCAAUGCAUGGAAUUAUAACUAUAAUUUUUAAUUUUUGAAUUAAAAUAAAUUUAAAUUUAAAUUAAUUUUAUUUCUUUAAUUUAGUUUUCAAUAUUUACAUAAUCUCAAACUACAUUAUGGAAUAACAUUUUUACUUAACUUAAAAUUUCUAAAUUAUUUUAUAAAAUUUAUUGAUUUUAAAAAAUAUAUAUUUUAUAAGGAUGCAUAGUUUAAGAUCUAAUAAGUAAUCCGUGCACCGCACGAAAUUGUUACAUCAAUAUUUUCGUUUUAGAUGCUAUCUUAAAAAUGAAUAUGUAACUCUACCUUAACUUUAAUUUAUUCUGUUUCAUAUAAUAAUAAAAGGGAAAACUUCAAAUACCCCCCUUGUGGUUUCACUUUUUUUCAGUUUAGUACCCUGUGGUUUAAAGUGUAUCAAGUUAGUACCAUGUGGUUUUGCACUUUUUCACUUUAGUACCCUGUGGUUUAAAGUGUAUCAAGUUAGUACUAUGUGGUUUCGCACUUUAUCACUUUAGUACCCUGUGGUUUAAAAACCACAAGGUACUAACUUGAUAUAAAAAUAAAAUCAUAGGGUACUAACUUGAUACAAAAAUAAAACCAUAGAGUACUAACUUGAUACACUUUAAACCACAGGGUACUAAAGUGAUAAAGUGAAAAACCACAGGGUACUAACUUGAUAGACUUUAAACCACAGGGUACUAAAAUGAAAAAGUGCGAAACCACAGGGGGGUUUUUGAAAUUUUUCCUAAAAGGGAAAACUUUAAAUAAUAUAAUAAAAUAAUACGUACAUAUAAAAUAAUAAACUAUAAUAUUUUGAAGGCCAAUUUGCAUAAAAAAAUCCAUUAGUUUUGCGCUUUUGCAAAAGUGGGCUACCUUUUACGAUUUUGCAAAUUCGAGCCGGAUUUUUAAUAAACUGACCAAAAUACCCUUAUACCUUUUUCUCUCUCUUUUUUUUUCUCGCGUUUUUUUUUUCUCGCCGAAGAAGGCGACGGAGGUGAAGGUGAAAAUGGCCCCCAUCGUCUCUGCACCUCACGCCCUUACCCUCACCUUCGCCUGUGCACCCCUCGCCCUACUCGCCUCCGACCCAGCCGAGGCUGCGCUCCGACUCUCUUUUUUUUCUUUUCGACCCUCCUCCACCACCUCCGCCGCCCUCCGCGAUGAUAACGAGGACGAUAAUGCAUCCUCUUCCUCCAUUUUCGCCCUCCACCUCCACUGCAACGGAUUUUGCACCCACCAAACCCACUUCUGGGAACUCGCGUUCCCACCACCGCCGUCGACGAUAAAGAAAAAGUACUUCUCAGCGUCGAGAAGUUCGCCGGUGAAGGAGAGGGCACGCAGCCUACUCACAUACCCCAGAGGGUGGCAACGAGCGCGGCCUCGACGGUGUCGGAGGCAAGAAGGACGAGGAAUGCACGGGAGCAUCUAUGGAUUAGCACUUUUCUUUGUUUAAAACAAAAAAAAAAGCUAAAAGGCCAAAAGCUAGAGAAUAAUAAAGAAAACUAGAGAAGAAUGAAGAAGAAGAUAAAUUUGCACUGAUUAAAUUGCACUGUUUUAAAAGAACGUUGCACUAUUAUGGACGUAAGUUGCACUCUUUUAAAUAUAAACUACACCCUUUAAGUUAAAAGUUACACUAUUUGAGAGAUAUUUACACUGUUUCUCCUCUUGUUGCACUCUUUAAGAGGAGAUAUUUACACUAUUUCUUCUCUUGUUGUACUAUUUCUCUUGUUAAAGGGUGCAGUUUAACAUCAACACAUCAAAAGAGAAAUAGUGCAACAAGAGGAGAUAUAGUGCAAUAUGAGGAGAAAUAGUGUAAAUAUCUCCUCUUAAAGAGUACAACAAGAAGAGAAACAGUGUAAAUAUCUUUCAAAGAGUGCAACUUUAGUUUAAAGAGUAUAACUUUCAUCUUAAAGGGUGCAGUUUAUAUUUAAAAGAGUGCAACUUACGUCCAUAAUAGUGCAACAUUCUUUUAAAACAGUACAAAUUCACAUUCUUCUUCCUUCUCCUCUAGUUUUUUUUAUUAUUCUCUAGUUUUUGGCCUUUUAGUUUUUUUUUUUUGUUUUAAACAAACAAAAGUGCUAAUCAGAGAUUCUCCCGUGCAUUUCUCGCCCUCCUCGCCUCUGACACCGUCGAGGCCGCGCUUGCUGCCACCCUCUGGGGUAGGUGGGUGGGCCGCAUGCCCUUUCCCUCGCUGGCGAGCUCCUCGACCUCGAGAAGCACUUUUCUCUUCCUCGUCGGCAGCAGCAGUGGGGACGGCAGGUUUAUUUGGCGGGUAAAAAAUCCGCUACAGUAGAGGUGGAGGCGAAGCCGGAAGAAGAGGACGUGUUACCAUCCUCGUAAUUGUCGCGGAAGGCCGCGGAGGCGGUAGAGGAGGGUUGGAGAGAAAAAAAAGAGGGUCGCAGUAAGGCUUCGGCGGGGUCUGAGGCAAGUAAAGCAAGGGGUGAGCGGGUGAGGGUGGGGGUGAGGGCAUAAGGUGCAGAGACGAGGGGGGCUGUUUCCGCCUUCGCCUCCGUCGCCUUCUUCGGCGAGAAAAAAAAAUGCGAGAAAAAAAAGGAGAGAGAAAAAGAUAUAAGGGUAUUUUGGUCAGUUUACUAAAAAUCUGACCCGAAUCUGCAAAAUCAAAAAAAGUGGCUUACGUUUGCAAAAGCGCAAAACUAAUGGAUUUUUUUAUGCAAAUUGGCCUAUUUUGAACUAUAGUUUAUUAAAUUCUUAUCAAAUUAUUGGACAUUAGGGCUAUUUAGAGGGUACAUUAUUUGUUUCUGCAUCCAUAUUUACUGGCCUUGAGUUGCAUGAGGAAUUAAGUAUAGGAAUUCUAAUUCAUAGCAUUAGAGACAACUAAUUUAUUAUAUAACACAACAACAUUGCAUUGAAAAUGUUAUUAUCUUAUAAAUAUUUAAAAAAUAAUGAAAGCACAAUUUAAAAAGGGGCAAUUGCAUAUAUAUCCCUGAAAAGUUUCCGAUUUUCCGAUUUACCCCUCUUAGAAGGCUAAUAUUAAAAAUACCCUUUCUACGUUCCAACCUAUUUCUAAUAUACCCCUAAAGUUAAAAUCUGUUAAUUAACUCUGUUAUCUCUAUAAAAUUACUAUUUUAUCCUUUCAAAUAUACCCUUCCACCAUCACUGACUUUCUUAUUUGCCCUUAAAGUUAGGGGCACAAAAAGUAUUUUGACUUUUGAUCUUUUUCAAUAUACCUCUCUAUCGUCACCAAUAUUUCUUAUUUGCCCUUAAAUUAAGGGCAAAAUUGGUAUUUUUUUGUUUACUGUUGUAGAUAUUUAAUUCACAUUUAACCCAAGUUAACUUAAUAUGAGAUAACUGCGGGGGUAUUUUGCAAUAACGGUAGAAAAUAUGAGGGGUAUUUUAGAAAGAAAAAAAAAAUAGGGGCAAAUCGAAUAGUUUCAAACGUAUGAGGGGUAUAUAGGCAAUUAUCCCUUUUAAAACUGUACAUUUGCUAAAGAGAAGCAAGAAAAUCAAGAUAUUGAAAAUUAAGAAGAUUGGUACAUGUAGUUCUCUUCUCAUCAAUAGAUAGUGAUAAUCAGAAAUUGCAAAUAAAAUGCAUAUGAAAGAGAGGAGAAGGGAGAAAAAAAAUAUAAAAAAUUAAUUAUAAACAUUAUCUAUGUACAAUUUUUAUAUAGCAUGAAGGUGUCAGCAAUAAAAAAAAAAUCUUAUUAAUUUUCACCAUGGUCAAAAAUGAGAUUUGAAGAGUCAAAAUAAAAAAUUGAGAUUUAAAUAGUGGCCAAGUGAUUUUAACUAUAAAAUUAAGGAUGUCAAUAAAAUUCAUUAAAAGCUGUUUUUUAUGCGUUAAGAAGUUCAAAAAAUCCAAUACAACUUGUAACAGAAGCCAAUCAAGACCACUAAAUGAGUCUUUGAUUCAGUUUUUAUUUGGUACAUAAAUGAGAGAGAGAAUAGACGAGCUAUGUCAAAGAAAAAAAAGAAAAAAAUUAUAAAAAAAUGUGGUUGCGCCACGUCAGCUAUAGAUAUCGGGGAUUAAUAUAGAGGUAUAGAUUAAGACCACUGAAUGAGUCUUUGAUUCAGUUUUUAUUUGGUACAUAAAUGAGAGAGAAUAGACGGUCUAUGUCAAAAAUAAAAAAAGCAAAAAAAUGUGGUUGCGCCACGUCAGCUAUAGAUAUCUUUACAAAUCCAUUAAUUGACAGUUCCUCCUGCAUACGUGUCCGCUCCUCCUUUCUUCUCUUUUUCUUUCAUCUCUUCUCUCUCAUUCCUUUCAUACCAAAUCUUUACGCCUCGGGAAGGUACGCCUCGGGAAAUCAAUAUUGGGGAAGGUAAUAAAUCUUCCCAAAUCAAUCUUGAAAAGUACCAAAUCUAUCCAAUGAUUACAUCUCGGGAAGGUACCAAAUCUUUCCAAAUCCACCUCGGGAAGGUACCAAAUUUAUCCAAAUAUUUCCUUACCUCGGGAAACGACAAAAUCCUCACUUUGAUUCCGAUGUGUAUAUAGGAGAACGUGUAUUCAUCAAGUUCGAACUUUGAAAAAUUUUCCUAAUUGUUUCUUCUUUCUCUCUCCCUCAUGCACUGAACUUUACCCGUCUUUACACUGAGUUUUAUAUUUUUUUGUAUUUUUUGCUGGAUCUUUGAGAGCUACUUGGAUUCGUGUUGCACCACCCUGAAAACGUGCCGACGGGGUGGAAGGUGUCACAGGCCUCAUCUAAAACUUUUCUCUCUAUAAUAUUUUCUACUUAAUCCGUCCUUAUAAUUUUUCGAAAACAAAAGUUAAAAUUGUUUUAUUUUAGAAUUGUUUAAAAAAUAAAUUGUUCAAGCUAAAUAUAUGUUUGCAUAUUACAUAAUUACAUAGUUUGUUAUCAAUCCAAAUUACUUAUAUAUGUAUUAAAAUAAUUAGUAAUCAUUUAAGCUAAAUAUAUAUUUUGCAUAGUUCAUAAUUACAUAUUUUGUUAUUAUUCCAUCUUAUUUUUGCAUAGCAAUUCAUUCUUGGCUACUAUUCUUUUGCUUUCUCUUACAUAUAUAUGUAUUGAUAUUUAAUUUUGUUAUUUUCCUCAUUUUUCGUAAUUAUUAUAUAUUAAAAUUCACAUCAAAAUAUUGGUGUUAAAACUGUCCGCGGCGAAGCUCGGGUUCAACACUAAUUGGGGAUUAAUAUAAAGGUAUAGAUAGAUAUCGGGGAUUAAUAUAGAGGUAUAGAUUAAGACCAAUAAAUGAGUUUUUGAUACGGUUUUUAAUUUGGUACAUAAAUGAGAGAGAAAAUAGGCGGGCUAUGUCAAAGAAAAAAAAAGAAAAAAAAUUGCAAAAAAAUAUGGUUGCGCCACUGUAAUACACUGAACUUUAGCAAAUUGCAAAGUUCGAGUGUGGGGAAUGAUAAACGGAACUACCCUACAUCUUCUAAAGGGCUUAGACAAGUUUUUGGACAAGUUAGAGAAGCGAUCGAAUGGCCGGAACCAAGAAAUUGCAUUUCUGGCGAAAUUCUGCAUUGUGUACCGGUACAGCCAUCAUCGUGUACCGGUAGACAAUGGCAGAUACGUGGCAGCAAGGCUAAUUCGGUAAUUUCACUUCUUAUACCUAUCCUUAUCACCCCAGCACGACUCCUUCAGCCUUGUGGAUGAUGCUGGAGCUCUGAGAAGUGGUCUUGCACCUCCCUUCUUCUCUCUCUCUAGGGUUUCUCUCUCUUUGAGUAAAAAUCGCCGAUUUGCGCCUAUUUCUCACCGUUCUUCGCGCUAGCUGGUUUGCGGGCCUUGGAGCAACUGUGAGUGGGAGGAAAGGACUCGCACGGGAGGUAUUUUCGCAACUCCAACUCACAGGGAAGCUGAAUUGAAGUCUAGUGAGGUAAACUAAUUAGUUUUUCUCUCUAGUUUGAGAUUAGUGAUAGUUUUUUAUGUUGGUUCUUGAUUCUUGCUACCAACUGGAUUGAGAUGGUUUAAAGUAGCAAUUGAGGAGUGGCUUUGCUGUAAUUCUUCACCCCAAAGUCAGAUUUAAAGCCUUAGAGGUAAUUAAUGAGCUUUUCUCUAUUUCGAUGAUGAAAAUGAUGAUAUUGGUGAAGUAGUGAUGCAGUUUUGGGAUUUUUAUUCACAACAGGUUUCCGAAUCUAUUUGAGCUGAGUUUGUGACCUUGUGGGCUGGUUUAGAAGGUGUUUCAACCAGGGGUAAGCAGAAUUUUCAGUUAGGAAACUGAUUAAGUGAGAUUCUGACUAGAUUAUCUAGUAUAUAAGUGUUUUGAUGCCGUUUUGGCGAUUGUUCGCAGCGAGAUUCCAACCGACCUUUGGAUCAUCUUCGGCUGUCAUUGGAGAGCCUUUAGAGGUUAAACGUGAGGUACUAAAGUGAACCAAAUCAGGGAUUCAAGCUACAACCUUGUAUAAGGUGAGGAUUUUGCCGAUUUGGAUGUUGUGGUAAUACUUUCAAUGUUUUUGGGACCUAAUUUUCAGCAGGAUUGAGAACCAGUCGAGACGAAUUUCGGGACUCUUUUGGGCUAGUUCGAGCUUAGUCGAGCUUAGUACUAAGUACUUUCACCUAGACUGAAGAGUAGAUUCGACUGUUAUCUCAAUCUAGGGGACUUGAAGGCAUUGGAUUUACCACGAGUGUGAAUUCUUCGACAAGGGUUGUCGACUUAUAGGUGGGUUUGACCUAACCAGAGCAAGUGAAGCUCCCAUAUGUUCUAUAUGAUACUAUAGAAUUGGUACAUAUGGGUACUUUUGUGAUUAUGUGAUUGAUAAGGACUUGGAACAUCAUCACCACAACGUUUGAUAUAUUUGAAAUGAAACCUCUAUGAAGUAGAGAGAACUUAUGCAUAAAAGUAUUUAUGUUUAUGUUUAGUUCAGUUGAAUAACUGAUGGACAAAUCUAUUAUACCUCUAUAAAGUAGAGAACAAUGACAUCUCUUGUGACUCUAUCGAUAGUACAUUAAUAGUGGGAAAUUUCUAAUGCAAUAUAUAAAAUUAGCAUUAUUUUCAUGUGCUUACUAAUCUAGUGGAUACUAGCAAUUUUCAUUAUUUAUCAUAUUGAGAUUCCGAUCAAUAGAUCGAAAACGACAACAUUACAGGUUAAAACAUGAUGACUGAGAUAUGUUAGACUAUGGUUUUGCUUGCUUGCCAUUGUGCUCAUUCGCACACCCUUGUGAGGGUCGCUCCCUACAAGCCGGCACUCCGGAGUUGGCCUACACGACAGAUUGCUCGCCCGUGCGGGAUUGGGUGUCGAAAUGGAUUGCCGUGGGGAGUUUAUACUACCACGGGGCCACUAGGCACGGCGCAAGCUUGACUACCUUGUGUAGGUCCUUAUGAAUCAAAUUAACUUACUAAAUGAUAGUAAUGAAUGAUUACCAUUUACAGUGUACAGUACUUACUCACAUGUUCAUGCUUUUAGUAAUUGCUAUGCUUAUCUUAUUCAGUUGAUACAUUUACAUUUGAAAAGUAUGAUUACAUAUUCCUUACCUAUUAGCAUUGUAGAUAUAUCAUGCCAUUACUGCUUUUACUUUUCAUUUAGUACAACAUUGAACCUAGUGGUGUAAUUCGCCGAGGCUGGCGGCUUACCCACUGGGAACUAUUAUUUAAUAGUUCUCAUGCCCCCUUUGUUGUUGUUUUUACAGAGCCAUCCACUGCGGGAGAGGCUAGGGAUCGCGGGAAGGAAGUCGCGUCUAGCUAGGCAUAGCGUGGAGUCCCGCUAGGUGAUCACCUCGCCGCUUGAUUUUGGACUGUCGAGGGUGAUGUGCACCAGUGUAUAGAGAGACUACCUUUGUAUAUAGUUUUUGAGGCAACCUUGUGAUGUAUAUGUUGGCCUAGAAUGUUGUAUUUAUAAUUAUAGCUUUUCUGCUUGUUGAGUUUUUGGGAUUUAGACUUACUCUUUUCUCGUUGAUAGUAUUGUGGUUUCAUACUUUGCUCUGAUAUCCUGUUAGAAUCUCUGCAAGAUCCUUCCUUCCUUGAACUUGGUUUUUGUAGACGUCUUAUAUACUGCAGGUAUAUGACGGGUCUGUGCACGUACCGGCUAUGCUUCCGCUGAUACCCGGGCGUGACAGCCACAUUAGCUAUAGAUAUCGGGGAUUAAUAUAGAGUGGUGAGAAAUGAGAUUUAAAUAGUCAAAAUGAAGAAUUGAGAUUAAAAUAGUGGCCAAGUGAUUUUAACUAUAAAAUUAAGGAGGACAAUAAAAUUCAUUAAGGGGACGUUUGGUUUGAUGAAUCUCUAGAUCCAAUGUAACUCUAGUGUAGUGGUGUUUGAGUUACCCUGAAGUGUAGUUAUUUUUUUGUUGUUUGUUUUGAUGUAACUCAAACUUCUGAAAGUUAAGUUCACCCACUUCUUUUGUUUGUUUUGAUGNGUUGCGCCACGUCAGCUAUAGAUGUCGGGAAUUAAUAUAGAGGUAUCGACGAUUUGGUACAUAAAUGAGAGAGAGAAUAGACGGGCUAUGUCAAAGAAACAAAAGAAAAAAAAUUGCAAAAAAAUGUGGUUACGCCACGUCAGCUAUAGAUGUCGGGAAUUAAUAUAGAGGUAUCGAUUAAGACCACUAAAUGAGUCUUUGAUUCAGUUUUUAUUUGGUACAUAAAUGAGAGAGAGAAUAGACUGGCUAUGUCAAAGACAAAGAAGAAAAAAAAUUGCAAAAAAAUGUGGUUGCACCACGUCAACUAUAGAUAUCGGGAUUAAUAUAGAGGUAUAGAUUAAAACUACUAAAUGAGUCUUUGAUUCAGUUUUUAUUUGGUAUAUAAAUGAGAGAGAGAAUAGACGGGCUAUGCAAAANAAAAAAAAAAAAAAAAAAAUUUGCAAAAAAAUAUGGAUGCGCCACGUUAGCUAUAGAUAUCGGGGAUUAAUAUAAAGGUAUAGAUAGAUAUCGGGGAUUAAUAUAGAGGCAUAGAUUAAAAGCACUAAAUGAGUCUUUAAUUCAUUUUUUGUUUGGUACAUAAAUGAGAGAGAAAAUAGACCGGCUAUGUCAAAGAAAAGAAAGAAAAAAAAUUAUAAAAAAAUGUAAUUACGCCACGUCAGCUAUAGAUAUCAGGAUUGAUAUAGAGUGGUGAGAAAUGAGAUUUAAAGAGUCAAAAUGAAGAAUUGAGAUUUCAAUAGUGGCAAAGUAAUUUUAACUAUAAAAUUAAGGAGGCCAAUAAAAUUCAUUAAAGACUGUUUUUUAUACGUUAAGAAGUCCAAAAAAUCCAAUACAACUUGUAAUAGAAGCCAAUUAAGACCACUAAAUGAGUUUUUGAUUCAGUUUUUAUUUGGUAUAUAAAUGAAAGAGAGAAUAGACGGGCUACGUCAAAGAAAAAAAUUGCAAAAAAAUGUGGGUGCGCCACGUCAGCUAUAGAUAUUGGGGAUUAAUAGAGAGGUAAAUGAGUUUUUGAUUCAGUUUUUAUUUGGUAGAUAAAUGAGAGAGAAAAUAGACGGGUUAUGUCAAAGAAAAAAAAAAUUGCAAAAAAAUGUGGCUGUGCCACGUCAGCUAUAGAUAUCGGGGAUUAAUAUAGAGGUAUAGAUUAAGACCACUAAAUGAGUCUUUUAUUCAGUUUUCAUUUGGUACAUAAAUGAAAGAGAGAAUAGACAGGCUAUGUCAAAGAAAAAAAAGGAAAAAAAUUACAAAAAAAUGUGGUUGCGCCACGUCAGCUAUAGAUAUCGGGGAUUAAUAUAGAGGUAUAGAUUAAGACCACUAAAUGAGUCUUUUAUUCAGUUUUUAUUUUGUACAUAAAUGAGAGAGAGAAUAGACGAGCUAUGUCAAAGAAAAAAAAGAAGAAAAACUGUGAAAAAAAAUCUAGUUGCGCCACGUCAGCUAUAGAUAUCGGGGAUUAAUAUAGAGGUAUAGAUUAAGACCACUAAAUGAGUCUUUUGUUCAGUUUUUAUUUGGUACAUAAAUGAAAGAGAGAAUAUAUGGGCUAUGUCAAAGAAAAAAAAAUUGCAAAAAAAUGUGGUUACGCCACGUUAGUUAUAGAUAUUGGGGAUUAAUAUAGAGAAUAUAGAUUAAGACCACUAAAUGAGUUUUUAUUCAGUUUUUAUUUGUUACAUAAAUGAGAGAGAGAAUAGAUGGGCUAUAUUAAAGAAAAAAAAAGAAAAAAAAUUGCAAAAAAAUGUGGUUACGCCACGUCAGCUAUAGAUAUCGAGGAUUAAUAUAGAGGUAUAGAAGAUAGAUGAGUCUUUUAUUCAGUUUUUAUUUGGUACAUAAAUGAAAGAGAGAAUAGAUUGGCUAUGUCAAAGAAAAAAAAAUAGUUGCAAAAAAAAAUGGUUGCGCCACGUCAGCUAUAGAUAUCGGGGAUUAAUAUAGAGGUAUAGAUUAAUAUAGAGAUAUAGAUUAAAACCACUAAAUAAGUCUUUUAUUCAGUUUUUAUUUGGUUCAUAAAUGAGAGAGAGAAUAGACGGGCUAUAUCAAACAAAAAAAGAAAAAAAAUUGUAAAAAAAUAUGGUUAUGCCACGUCAGCUAUAGAUGUCGGGGAUUAAUAUAGAGGUAUAGAUAGAUAAAUGAGUCUUUUAUUCAGUUUUUAUUUGGUACAUAAAUGAGAGAGAGAAUAGAUGGGUUAUGUCAGAGAAAAAAAAUUGCAAAAAAAUGUGGUUGCGCCACGUCAGCUAUAGAUAUCGGGAAUUAAUAUAGAGGUAUAGAUAGAGGUAUAGAUUAAUAUAGAGAUAUAGAUUAAAACCACUAAAUAAGUCUUUUAUUCAGUUUUUAUUUGGUUCAUAAAUGAGAGAGAGAAUAGACGGGCUAUGUCAAACAAAAAAAGAAAAAAAAUUAUAAAAAAAUAUGGUUAUGCCACGUCAGCUAUAGAUGUCGGGGAUUAAUAUAGAGGUAUAGAUAGAUAAAUGAGUCUUUUAUUCAGUUUUUAUUUGGUACAUAAAUGAGAGAGAGAAUAGAUGGGUUAUGUCAGAGAAAAAAAAUUGCAAAAAAAUGUGGUUGCGCCACGUCAGCUAUAGAUAUCGGGAAUUAAUAUAGAGGUAUAGAUAUGUGGGCCAGUCCCGCCUCCCUGUUCUCAAAAUAAUUUUUGUACAUAACUAACUUUACUUUAAAAAUUAGUUUUGAUUAAAAAUUAUAAAGUAUUUGUCUGAAUUUAAAUAAAAAUAAUUUUUUAAAGUAAUUUUAUAAAAUUGUUUGGUAAAAAAAAUUUGGUGUUUGCUAGUCUUAAUUUUUUAAUGAAUUUUAUUUUAAAAAUAAUUAAUUCUAUCAUAUGUUAGAUGAAAAUUAAGUAUAAUGAUAACUUUGCUAAUGAAAUUUGAAAUAUAAUUCAAUAUAUGAGAAAAGAAUAAAAUUAAUAUAUAACGAUAUAAUUUUAUAGGGCUUUUGCUCAUUUAUCUUUAUCUAUUAUUAAAGAAUUUUACAAAAAUAUCCUUCUAAAUCCCAAUUUUCAUUAGUAAACCCUAGGAGUUUGGAAAUAUUUGAAGGAAUUUUUGAAAAUCAAUAGGGGUAUUUUGGUCGACCAAGGUGUAUAUUUGAUAUUUUUGAAGUUUUAGAGGUAUAUUAGUUAUUUAUCCCUAAUUUUAAAAAUAUAGGUGAAAUUAUAAUUCUAAUUUUAUAAUUUAACAAAUAAUAAAUGUAGUGUUUCUGAGCUUUCGAUAGGAUUGGCUUCAGUGAUAGUGACUGGUCGAUACAUCUGGAGAGUGUCGGACUGAGUCGAAGUCGUUUCUGCGCGAAAUGGGUGCAGAAAUUGACUCGGCGCACUCAAAUAAGCAAAACUGGAGUUUUGCCAGAUUCGGGCCCCUGGAACAGAUCUUGGGUCGCCCAGAAGUUGAGUGCAGAUUUGAUCACAACUGGAAGCUAAUUCGGGUCCAUGUUUCGGGCGCCCGGAUGAGGGUCUGAAAGUUCACCUCAUGAGUAUCGUUUGUGCUGACACGUGGCUGGUGGUUGGUGAGGUCAGCCGGAGCCGGAUACGGGCGCAGCACACCGUGAGCAGAGAGUCCGAGAAGGAAGCUUUGUGUAGCCUGGAGGAUUCGGGCGUCCAUAAUGUGGGUCCGAGCGCCCGGAAAUGCCCGUUUCUGCAGGGACAUCAGAUUGCAGCAGCUGUUCUUGGGGCUUAUCCUACCCUUCCAGCACUCUAUAAAUAGAUAGAGAGGGACCUUGGUGAGCUUUUUUCACAGUUUCUUUACAGUGAACUCAUAAUUCCUCUCUCAAUCCUUCAAACCUUCUCAAAUUGCUUCAAGAUCCACAACUCCAAGCUUGCUAGGUGCUGAUUCUGCAGUUCUUCUGCGACGACCUCCAGUGUUUUGGCUCGUGUGCGAUGUAGGAAGGUCGGAUCGCGGUGAAACUUGGUUUGCUGGAUUCUAGACUUCCAGAGGAAUCCACAAAGUCCUGAAUUGCGGAUUUUGGUUGAGGUUAGUUUAGUUGUUUACAUGUGUUUCUGGAUUGCUGGCAGUAUUGAGCUAAAAAUGAGAUUUUUUAGCUUUUCUUGAUGCUAUCUUUGUAAACAGUGGGAUUUUGGACUUGAGACACAUUCUCCAUUAUUAGUCAAUAGAUUUGAGACCUUCCUCACCUGAUUUGGAGGUAAUUAGGUGAGUUUUAACAUUACAAUUGAGAUUAAAUUAAGCUUUAGUGCUGAAAUAGUGAUAAUUGAUGGAAUUCAAUGUGUAGAGCUUGGAGAUAGCUUGAUUUCUGGUCUUGGAGGAUUUCGGUUGAUCCAGCAGGGAUUAACAGUGGUUCGGGACCCUUCUUUGCUGCCAGGAUUCGCAAUUAAGGUGGGUUUAUCAUCGGUUUUGCUCUUAGGUAUAUGUAUAGUAAACAUGUAUAGUUUCGGAAUAUCGUGUUGUAGCUCGAAUUCAUCGAUGAAUAUGAUAUAUAAAUCUGAAUUUGGAGCAUGCUUAGUAAUUAGUUGAAUAUACAUGUUGGACUUGGAACUUGACUUAGGAGAAAAUCAGCGAUUCGACUUGUCAUAUGAUUCUACUAUCUGAUUUAGUUCUAGGAGCCGUAUUUUGACCGUAUCACUGCUGUUUCAGCGCGGUGGAUACCCGGGGUAGUUUAGAAUGCAUUUACGCUCGUGCUGGAAUGCUGAGCUUAUUUUUACAGCAGAGUCUAGCCUGUUUCGGGUUGUCGGGUGCCGUCGGGGUGGACGGUGGACCCAGAUUUCUAUUUUUGGUCUCAGAUUGUGCCGAGGGCACGUGGGUUUGGUUUCUAGACCUGUUUUGACCCUAGCUACUUGACUUUAGCUUGUUAGAGCCUGAUUGAGCUCGACAGAGAUACGCUUGCAUACUCGGUUGGGUAGCGCCCACGAGUGCCACUCCGGAGUUAGGCUUAGUGCGUUUGCGUUGGUGUCGUUUGUGCAGGUUGGACUUGCUCUCUACGGACUUGUUAGUUUGGAGGUAGUUGUAUAGUCGCGACCGGGCGGGACGGGUGUAUUCACAGUCCCAGGGACGGGUAUGACUACAGUCCUUAUUUGAGAUUAGGUCUGAGUUGACACUGUUCUACAGAUGGUUAGAUUUAGAGCAUGAUAGUGUAGUGGUAUACACCUGUAGAUUUGUUCCAACUUUCUUUACUAUUCCUGCUGAUCCCUGUAAACUUAGUGGGUGGACCGAUGAGUUGAGGGCGGUACCCACUGAGGACUAUUUGUUUUUAUAGUAGUUCUCACGCCCAGUUGUUAUUGCUGUUUUUGCAGAACCGUCGCCUUCGGCUGCUGCUGUUGCUGAUCUUGAUUGUGGCAAGGGCGUCGCGAGUUAGAGCCCUUCCAGUCGAGUCGCAGAGCUAGAGGAGCACCAGCUAUAGGUAGUUGUAGUUUUUGGGUCUUUACAUACAGUUGUUGUUAUCUCGCCAGAGCGAGUAUUUGUGUACCUUGGAUAACAUGUAUGUAUUGAACCACCGUUUAUAUAUAUGAUUUAUUUUCCUAGCUGCUCUAUACUACUGUUUGUAGUAUUGUAUGAUUACAGGUACUUCUACUUUUUCGCUUCGUAUACAGGGGAAAUACCAAUGUAUACGGCGGGUCUGUUAGCGAGCCCGGGAAAACGAGUAAUCCGGGACGUGACAAUAAAAUUAAAUAUAAAUAUAUAAUUUUAAAUAUAGAAGAGUAUAUUAUUUUAUAAAUUUAGUAUGUUCGCAAAUCAUCUUAGAAAAAUUAACUUAGUAGUAUACAAUUUGGGCAUUCAUUUGAAUAUAUUCGAAAUUGAUUAAAAUUGAGUAUAAAUAUUAACAAAACAUCAUCAAUUAUAUGAUAAUGAGCAUUGUAAUCUAUCUUUUUCAUCAAAUAGAAAAACAAUAAGACAUAUAAAUUAAAAUUAAUACAACACUACAGCACAAUAAUAAGGUAUAUAAAUAAAAUUUAUUGAACUAUUUUCCCUUGAAUUAACUAAAAUAUAUUUGUCAUUACAUUCAAGAAUAGAAAAGUAGCCACAUAUGAUUCUCCCCAUCUAUCUAUUGUUUCAUAAUUGCUUGGUAAUAACUGAACGAAAGGUGUCACCUCGUCGAUAUUCAUUUGGACCUACUAAUAUCAUAUCCUAAGUCACACUAAUUAAACCUACUUGGAGUAUACUGAUCCAACCCGCUAGUAAUAAUAAUUUGUUGGACUCAAACCACCAAUCCAAAAUGCUUAAGUCCAGUUAAUUUAAGUAGUAUGUUCUUGCUUCUACUAUAAAGAAAGCUGUCAUUGCCAUCACUUAUAAAUCCAUCAUACUCUUUUACAUUAUCCGAUGUAAAACCUGUUGGGAUAUCACAUACUUUCCUUGUUUAGGCCUCAACAUUCUCAUCGGUCCGACCCAAUCUUACAUAUAGCUCCAUAUUCACCGGGCGAUCUAUCACGCUUCGGAUUCAACUGCUUAGAUCUGAACCACAACAACCAACAACGAAUUCGAAAGAAGAAUCUCCGAAAAGGAAAGGCCUUAAAUAGAUCCAAAGCUACACUCUCAAUUAAAAACUAAAUAAAAUAAUUUUUAACUCAAACAAAACUAAUAGUAAUUAUUAGAUGUCCAAUUGUGAAUAAGGAUAAAUUAGAUAUUUUAGAAGUUUUCAAAGACACUAGUGUAGGAACCCGCGCGAUGCGGCGGAUAAAAAUUUUUAGUAAAAAUUUAUAGAAUAAGUAAACAAAUAUGGAACAUAAAAAAGAAAAAGAAGAAUAUAAGUAUAUUUGAUUGAAAACAUUACAUAUUUUCUCAUAAAUGGUAGACCAAGAGCCACUAAAAAAAGAAAAUAAAUGUGCGUAGAUGAAACAAAAAAUAAAGAGUCAUUUGAAAAAAUAAAAAUAAAUAUAAUUCUUUAGAGAAGAGAAAAAAUGACUUGGGGCCCACACCUCCUUCAAAUUAAAGAGGUACAUCCAUAUAAGAUUUAGGCAAGAGAAUUCAUGUAUAGGUAGAUAUUAGACAUUAUCAUAAAAUAAAAUAAAAAGUUUUGAAAAUAAAAAUAGAAAAGUAAAAAAUAAAUAUCUACAAAUAAAUUUUCUAAAUUUUUUUAAAAAAAUAAAAAAAAGAUGGAAAUAUUCUCGUCCUAAUUUGAGGAUCAAAAGUGUAAUUCGGCCGGACAACCGGUGGAGGAGCAGAAGUCCUAUCCUCUCUCUAUUCUCGUGAGAUUCCAGUCUUCCAUUUUUUUUUCCCUUCCAUCCACCACCGCCGAUUGCGCGGACAAUGGCCUUCGCGGCGAACCCGCUGUCUUUGAGCGUCCCGGAGGCCGCCUUCGAGACCUGGCUCCGCGACUCCGGCUACCUCGAGAUUCUCGACGACCGCACCGCCUCCGCCUCCGCCUCCGCCUCCGCGAACCGAAACCCUAGCCCCACCGCCGCCACCACCACCACCACCACCAUCACCACCACCAUCAAUUCCUCUUCCUCCUCCUCCGAUCUCUUCUCCUUCCUCCGCACCCUCGCCUCCCUCCUCGCCCUCAACCCCUUCGCCAAGCUCGCCGCCGAGGACUUCGCCGGCCCCACCCCCUCCUGGACCCUCGAAUUCCUCGGCCCCGCCGCCGGGUGCUACUCCUGGCCCGCCGGCCCCGCCCAGGCCCGCAUGAGGGUCCAGGAGAACGUCCGGCGGUACGCCCGCAACUACGCCUUCCUCUCCCUCCUCUUCUUCGCCUGCUCCCUGUGAGUACUCGCACCCCCCAUGCCUUCUGCUUUUACUUUCAGCAGCAGUAAUUUAAAUUUAAGAAUCUUCUGUUUCUACUUUCAGUGGUAGAAAAAGCUAGAGAGAGAGAGAGAGAGAGAGAGAGAGUCCGGCUGGAAUACUUUUAAUAGUACCGAGCACUUGAUAAUGCUAUCCGGUUUUCCACCAUUAGAUCUAUUCCUUGAUCAAUUAGAGUUGUGCUGGAAUACUAUUAAUAGCAUUUGGGUCCUUUUACUACUAAGUUUAUAAUACUUUGAUAGGGUUUAGUGUGGUCCCCCUAAGAGGCUUAGUGGAUGGUUGGUGGAAUAGUAUGUAUGAUCUAGGGUGUGGGAUUGAUCAAGGGAUAGAUCUAAUGGUGGAAAACUGAAUAACACUAAGUUCUUGAUGCUAUUAAAAGUAUCCUAGCCGGACUAUAACCGUGGCGAAAAGCAGAAUUGUUGUUCUUGAAAGGCCUGUCUGGCCAUGCCUCAGUUUCUGCAUUUAAACAGAUAUUAUUUUAGGAUCUGUGUGGCCACACUUCUUCUUUUAUUUAUGCUCUCAGCAGCAAUAAUUUCGGAAUCUGUUGUGUUCCACUUUUGCUUCUACUUUCAGCAGCAGACGGCGCGCUACUAGCGCCUUUUGUAUAUAAAUAAAAGGGGAAAAAAAUUAUGAAGCUUCUACUGCAGCGGAAAACAGAAUCUCUGUUCUUGAAAGGCCUGUUUGGCCCCGUUUCUGCUCUUAUUCUUGGCGGUAAUGGGUGUUUGCUGUUGCGGGAAGCGAAAUUGAGUUUCUGAUCCUUGAAAGUGAAGCUUCUGUUUGAUGCUUCUGAUUUAGUUGCAAAAUGAAGUAGUUGAGAUUAUUUUAAGUUAUUGACUCUUUUAUUAGUAAGUACUACAGUAAGGCCAAACAGGCCUAGUGCGUAUGGCAAAUAGGAAAAUACUGGAGCAUCUGCUGUAAAAACAAGCAGAAAUUGUAUUUUGAGCUUGAAACACAGAAACACCAAUUUGAUGCUUUCUAAAUAGGCACUACACUCUACAGUAGGGCAAAGUAGCCCCUAACCCUUUUUUAGGGUAUUUGUUUAGCUGUUUGCUUGUUUCUUAUUGUUGUUGACAGGUAUCGGAUGCCAAUAUCGCUUUUGGGUUUGAUGUCGAGUUUAGUGAUUUGGGAGCUAGUCAGGUUCUGCAACGAGAAGUGGGACUUGGAGCAGCGAUUUCCAGGAUUAAGGCAGGUUUUGGUGCGGUUUGCUCAGUUUGGUGAGUAUUAUUGUCCACCGUUUAUCUUGAUUUCAAACCCAUAAAAUUCAAAUGGCAGAUUCUACAAUUUUGUUUCAUUAAUUUACAAGUUUGCAAAAGUUUGGAAGAAAAGCCAGAAAUGAAACUGGGGAAGCGCCGCCUAUGGUUUCUGUAAUAUAAAUCAGUCAGAAAAGAACUAGGAAUCCUAUUGUUGCAACUAGCAAGCAUUGGAAUUAGAAACAGAUCAUAACAUGUGAAGGACUCAGGAAAGGAAACAUCCAAAUAGAUAUAGCCGUAUAGGAUAUGGCUAUCAAUGUAUGGGAAUUGGGAAAAAGACUAUAAACAAGGCCUAAUUAACCAGAAAGCCCUAAAUAUAAUUCAGGUAAGCAAUAAAGUUCAGACUCGAAACCUCACAACUGAUUUGAAAUCCAGCGGUAACAGAUGAAGUAACUCUAGAGAAGAUAAAGAUUUUUGCAAAACCAUUCGAUCAUCAUCAAGACAAGCACACUGCAAAAUUUUAUCAUAAACUAAUUAUCUAACCGACCAAUAGUAAAAGGUAAGACGGAAUCAAAUACUAAAGUAGAGCAAUUGCGGACGCCAAUUGUAGAUUGCCCUACCAGAGCUUGUUUGGCCUCUAAUGGCGGUGCAGCUUCACCAGCUGAAAUUAGAGCUUAGCAAUUGCUGCUAGGUGGCUUGCUCUCUUAUUUUUCCUUUUUUCGUCCCUUUUUUUUUUGUUGGAAGAGAGAAAAGGUCCAUGUGUGAAAGAGGGCGUUUAUAAGGUCUGGUCAAGUGAAGUUAGCGAGUGAGAGCUAUCUGAGGGGAAUGGGUUGUAAUAGGAAGGGAUCAAAUAGCCUAAGGUUCUAGGAAGUCUUCUAGUUCUAGGGUUUUUUCCAGGAAGAAAACAUCUGUCUUAUCAUGAGUCGAGCUGGCUAAGUUACAUUUUUUUAAAAACAAAGAUAACUGGUUUACUUUCAAUCAAGGUUUAAAGUGCCGUGGCACGGGGGCGUGCUGUUAUGUCCCUGGCACGGUACGGCACAGGCACGCAUGCGUGCCAACACGUGGCACGCUUGCGUGCCGAUAGAUACGCAUGACCUCCUACUGACACGCUUUGGCACGGAUUUAUUUCAAUUUUUUUGGUUCCAAUAAACUCUUAUAAUGUUAUUUUGAAAUAUUUAAAUAAAUAAUAAUGAAUAUUUACUAUAUAUACCUUACUAUACUCAUUAAUUAACAUGCAUGUAAGCUUUUUGUAAGUAAAAUACAACUAUACCUGAUGUAGAAUAGAAAUUAAAAUACAAUAAUAAAAUUCACAAGUAUAAUAAUUAUUUAAAUUUACAUCUUUAUAUAGAGAUGACUACUUAAUUCGACAUAGAUCGUCGCGUUUGAUCAUAUGGCAUAUUGUCAUAUGAAGAUACAAGAUUUAUAUGACAAUAUUGAUAUAAAUAUUGCUGGCAUUGUGAGAAAGUCAUAUAUUCCCGAUAUCACAUCCAUAUUUUUUGUUCUUUUUAAAAAUAUCUUAUCAAAAUUUGUUUAGGAGAUCGAUUUUUGUUCUUUUGAUUCACUGAAAGCUUCGCGGUGCGACAAAUUUUGAAAAAAUAUUCUGCGAAAAAAAAAUGGAUGUCAGUAGACCCGAGCUCGUAGCCCACCACUGACAUCCGAGGGGGGUGCGGGGGGCAAAACCCCCCGCGGUAUGGAUCGGAUAUGUCAAUUAAAAAGACAAUAUAAGUGGUCCGAGGGGGACUCAGAGACCCCAGAGAACAAAAGAAAAAAGAAAAAGCCAAAAAAAAAGCCAAAAAGAAAAAAAAAAGAAAAAAAGAAAAAAAAAAGCGGCACGCACGGUACGUGCCGCCGGCACGCACCUGCCCGCCGCUUUGUCUUGAGCGGCACGCAUGUGCGUGCCGCGAGACAGAGGGGGGGUCCGAGACCCCCCCUGAAGGGGGCACGGUACGGCACGCCCCCGUGUCGCCCGGAACGGGCGGCACUUAAAACCUUGCUUUCAAUGCAUCUUUCAUUUAAUACUAGAAUCUUAAAACCUUUUUGGUUUAUUUGGUUCCCAAGUAUGAGUGUAUGAGUGUUUCUCUUUCUGUCGAUUAGCGUCUCGAAAUCCCUUUUAUUACAUUCACUACUGGCUAGAUUACAAAUAUUCAAGUCGAUAUACAUUUUUGUUCAAAAUUAUUUUGUUCACAUUAUGUGCAAAAUAUGCAAGUUUGAUUUCUCUUUGUAUGUAGUUUUUUUUUCCCUUUACAAAUUUUUUUUAGUUAUACUGGUAAAAUGUUUCACGCCACCCAUUUUAAAUUGUAGUGAUCAAAUAUAGUUAUGUCUGUUUCGGUUUACAAAAUGUUAAGUUUUUUCUGUUUUAAUCUGCUUUUGACUUAUACCUUAUCCUUCCUCUUGAUGGGCUUGUAUUUGGCAUAUAUCUGAAGUGUAAAUUGCCGAAGGAAUUGAUUUUCACAUGCAUUCGGCGAGUGAAUCUAUAUAUCUAUGUCGUAUCUGAGAAUGCCCUUAACAAAAUCCUUUUAUAGAUCACAUGUUGAGGCUUUUUUCCCCCUUUCUUUUAAAAAAAUAAUGUGGAGGGUUGAUAUUGUGGCCUAACUACAAUAUAACGCAAUUGUUUUGGAUGAUAGAUAAGAGGAAAUAGUGCAUGGACUAGAUGAACCAUUUCUUGAUUGAUUAGCUGAGUGUCAUGAGAUGAGCCUUUUGGAAUGAUUUACAAGAUAGGAGAUUGUGCUGAACUUUUGCUUAUAUUUGCGAACUUGCAAUACAAGUGCAAUGGAUCAUAGCUGGUGGAUAUUUUAUAAGUUGGAUAAUCAAAAGGAUAAUAAUUUGAUUAGAAAGGAGCCAGAUUAGAUGAUCUUUCGGUAGGAGAAGUUCCUCAUUCCUCAACAAUUGUGGUUUGGCCCAAUUAUCAACUAAGAUCUAUUUUCUAUUAAUUUUAAGCUGGCUGUCCUAUUAUGGGCGAGCGUCUUCUAUAGUGACUGAACAAAUUUCCUGAUAAUGUUUACUUGUUUAUAUGCUUCCAUAGAUGAAUACUGUGGCAUUAUCAAAUAUAUAGGACUAGUGAGAUGGAUCACAGUUCUUGAUUUACUCUGCUAUAUCCAUUUUUAGUCUAGUGAGCUGCCUGUUUCUGCGCCCUGUCACUACUAAGAUAUUGCUAUCGUUGGUACUUUAUGUUGUUUCUUGAUUUGCUUUCUCUUGAAGUUCAGAUGAAAUCCCAAAACAAAAAUUAAAAGAUUUCUGUUUUGUGUAUGUUGCAACCUAUAGAUUUAGUUUUCAAAACCAAUUGAAAACUGGAAAAAGAAAAUCCGAUUCUGUUAUAUUUGAUUUGAAGAACGUUUAGAUUCAGAAUAGCGGUCCAAAUUCUUCAAAACUUGCUUAUUGGGUCUGAAAAAAUGUGAUUCAGUUUUUGAUAACUCCGGUUAUUUCUUUUUAUCGUACUUUGAUUUCUUUGAUAACGCUAUAUUUCCACUUAUGCAACUACACACGGAAAGACUGCACCCUUAAUAAAGGGUUCAAAGAUGAACAUUGGCUCUUGCGUCCAAUGGUUGCACCACCUGACUGUCCCCAGUUCAGUUUGAACAGAAAUCACCAACAUUCAUUGGUGAGGAGCGGACUGAGGUUCCCUGCCUUCCCAGUGAAAUAUCCUGCCAUUUGAAAAACUGGAGAAGUGCAGUUUUUAAUCUUUCUGGAUUCUUUUUUGGCUAAAUUACAGAAAACCCCCCUGUCAAAACCCGAUUUUUCACUUUCCCCCCAUGUCAUUUAAAAACCUACACUUUGCUCACUUGUAAAAUGAAAAAUGUUCACAGGGGGGGUACGGUGUGUAAAAUGACCAUUUUGCCCCUCACCAUUUUCGUCUUCUCCCUCAUCUUCCUCAACCGCCGCCUCAAUCGGCCGUGAUUCACACCUCGAUUGGUCGUGAUUUCUCUCCAUUUUCUUCUCCACCUGCUCCCCUUCUCCUCCUGCACUCUCGCCGCCCCUCAAUUUCGGCGACAAUAAGGAGGAAAUCGAGGUAGGCGUUGAUGGAGAGGUAGGCAAGGGCAACCAGGGCGAAGGCGAGGCGGCGAAGGAGCGCGAAGGGGAUGUUGGCAAAGGCGAGGGCGAGGGCGAGGGCGAGGUAGUGGAGGAGGGCGAGCCGGCGAGGCGGCGAGCCGGAGGGAGGCGAAGCAACAGGAAAGAGGGUGGAGGGGUAUUUUUGGUAUAAAAAAAAAUUUUAUAACGGAAUCCUAUCGGAUCAUUAACGGUAGGGGAUGAAGUGCACAUUUUUCAUUUUACAAGGAGGCAAAGUGUUGGUUUUUAAAUGACAUGAGGGGAAAGUGAAAAAUCAGGUUUUUACGGGGGGGGUUUUCUGUAAUUUAGCCUUCUUUUUUUUUUUCUUUUUUGGAGCUUUAAAAAUGCACCAAAAGGGUUGCAUUAGGACUGUCGAUCGAAACUGAAACUCACAUUUCACACGUGUUGCAUUUGUUUGUUUUAAGUUUGUUUUUAAGCCAGGUUUAUAUUUUGACAUUUUGAACGGUCUUUUUUGUUUUAUUCUCCUUUUUCUCGAGCAGCGACAGCAGUGAUACUUUAUGUGUGCAAUCUUCAGUUAACUCUCAUUUCGGCCAUUGGUGUCAGCUAUGCAGGUAAAUGAUCCCCACCAAAUUCCACUGCUCUUUUUCGCCUUGUUUUUUUUCCUGAAAAAAAAAAAAACUUUUCUGAGCCUCCUUUAAUUAGCGGAUAAUCUCCUCUAUGCCAGUGAUGAUUCUGCAUGCUUCGCUUCGGAAGUUGACUCCUUCGAAUCAGCCUAAUGGGAUGAACCGAAACAGAAGAUCUCAGCAUAGAAGAUUGCAAUUUUUCUCUAAAUAAAACGAUAAAAAGGAAAAAAACAAAAAAGUUAUCAGGCUCUACUAAUUAAUAUAUGCCAAGUUCAGACACCACUCAAGGAAACUUCACGGCGGCCCACAAUAAAGAUAGGAUGCAUAGGGCUUUUUUGGGCUGGUUGCGCAGUCAGAUCACAACUGUUGCGAGGGAAUGCACCAGAUAUUGCGUACGGUGGAAUAACAGUUUCAGCGGUUGUGGGCUGCCACCGAACUCCUCGAUGCCGCAGGAAAUAGGUCCAUAGAAACUCAGCAUCCACGACAACUCCGGACGCGUUGUGUUUUUCCUUCUUUCCAAGUGCUAGUUACCUGUGAUGCACAUACAAGCUACCGGCCAUCUUAAAAAGACAAAAAAAAUUCAAUUUUUGUCUGUUUCUCCAUCUGUUUGUUUUGGUUACAUGUUAGCCUGAAUGUCAGCUAGGAAUGAAAGAUUAAUGUGCAAGCCAGUUUGAAUUGGUAUGCGCGGCUUGUGACAUCAAUGUGGCGGUGGUAUGAUUAUGUUGACGAUAGCAAAGAAUGCUCCCGAAGCUUUCAUUCUUUUUGUCCGGUAAGUCCGAUGGUGCGAAUCCGCAAUGCUAUGUCAUACAGCUGCUGCGUUAAAUUCUUGCAUUUCCUCUGUAUGUUUUUAAGAGUUCUGAUGGAAAUGCUGUAAUGGAUGAUGAAGGAAAUGUAACUAUUUACCUAUGGAGGUUUUUGAGGUUUCAAACUAUUAGGUAGUGUCCAAUUUAUAGCAAUUUAUUAAAAUGGAAUAUUGAAAUUGAAGUUAUAAUCCGGUACAGGAAUGAAAAAAAGGAAAAACCUAAAAAAGUAAUGUUCAGCUCAGACAUGUUCACGUUAUUUCUUUAGAUCAUAGGCAUAACAGUGAGGAAAAAAUCUGAAUAUUUGAAUCUAUAUCUGAAAGGCUUCGACAUUUAGUUUCAAAGUCAUUUUCUCGAAAUAAGAUAAAAUCUCCUCAUAGGUAAGAUAUAUUAUUUUAACACUUUAUGAUUUCCAAGAUCAUAGAAAAAGUAGAAACAAAUCACACAAGUAAUUUUCAAUCACUGAAGAUAGGAAAUAAGUUAUCACAAGUUAACAUCCUAAAUGAUAUGCAGAUUUAAGAUCUUUCUUCUUUCAAACUGUUUUUGAUACACAUGAACUCAUUCAAUGAAUUCCGACGCACAUUAAUUCUUGAUACAAAAUUUGCUAAUUUUAAAAGAUGCAAUGGUACAAAUAUAAAAGUGGAAUAGGGAGAAUAGAUGUAACAUAUAGAUUCCAAUUUCAUUCGAGUCAUUUGAGAACUUGGCAAUGAUGUCUAUAAAAAAGGAAGAAUAACACAAAUCUAGCUCCAAAAUUGGAGCUACUUUUUAAUCCUCUCUUCGGUGAUUCUCGGCAUGCUUCAAUUAAUAAAAAGCUUUAAUAAGCUUCUCAGGAAACUAAUGACGAUCAUUAAAUCUACACUCAGGAACAAAAUCAGAUUUGAAUAUCAAGAAAACUAGUAAUAGAAUAUCACAAAUAUGCUUAAUCAAUAUGCAGAUGGCUCAAAACAUGGACUUGAUUUAAAUGAGAAAAAAUUAACUAAAGGUGGAAGCCUAGUGGAGCUCGAACUCAAAUAACUCCUGCUGUGUUACCAUGUUAAAUAAUGUGAAAUAAUCGUUAUUUAAUUUUUCUCCAAAAGCUUAAACUAUCUGAGGAAAAUGGUUGCUCCACAAUUAUUUGCCAAUAAUACAAAAAAAAAGGAAAAAAAACCAUCCUCUGAAGGUCAUCUUAUAUAUAUAAAAAAAAGAGAACCUUUUGACUGCACCAUGUAAGCUUCGCUGGUUUUCUGAUUAUCUAAUGGCAUCUCAGCAAAAUUUCAAAGCAUCUAAUUGAGAAAAAGAGAAACUGAAAAGAUUCGAACAAAAUUUGGGACCUUCUUUACAUCAUGAGAGAAAAGAUUCACAUAUUGUAGCUUGCCUUUGAAUUCGGCCGUCGAUGCUGGGAAAUUCACCUCUGGAAGCUCUGAUGCAGCUGGAGACUCCCACCGAAUCAUUUGUUGUUAAACACCAGUUCUUGACCAGGGACAGAAAAUAAGGCAAAAGUUAAAACCAUGUCAAAAUAAUGCAGGCUCAGCUUCUGCGGGCAUGAAAUCUCUAUCAAUCGCUUUCAUAACACACAAGCUUGGUCGUGGAGGUUAUUCAUAUCGUACUUCCUGUUAGUGACUAAUUAGGAGGGCUUGCCCAGUGUUAAUAAUGAGCAAGGUCUGUAAAAAGUACAUUCAUAGUGGAAGAAGCUCAACUUCUGUACGAUUGCUCAACAUCUCAGAAUCACUACCGCUAUCUUUCCCCUCAUCGUCAGGUUGGUGAGGUUCUGCGGUGUGUAUUUUGCUACCAGGAAGUGGAAAGGGCGAAUUUGUUGUCGAAACAAGCAGAUCCUCCAUGAGAGACUCAUCCACAGAAGCUUGUUCUGAUACCGCCAGUUGGAGCUUUUUCAACUGAGAUCGCUGGCACACGAUUCGCCCCUUGUUCCAUCCCGCGAAAUGAAAGGACGAAGAAGAAAUGUUAUCCUUUAGGAAUGAAAACACAGCCUUCGCUAUCGGUAGUCCUCUUGUCAUGGAACUUUUCUCCAUCUCCCCACGUCUGAUAAAACAGAGAAUUAUCAAUUUGAACAUGGGAAAUUUCUCGUCGCCAAUAAGUGAGAACUAAAGGGCGGUAGAACUAAAAGUCCUAACACCUAACACCCAGAAGAAGAUCGCAGCCGUAACGCGAAAUUGUACUGCCUCCAAUGAGCAAGCAAUCAGGAGAGGCAGCAAUCAGGAGAGGCCUUUAUUUACUAAUUGGAUGAAAAAUGGAAAGGAAAAAUAAGAAAAGAAAAGUGGAUGACAAGGAAAGUUGCAAGUGCUCACACUACAGCAACUGAAGCCAAGUGAGGAAGAUCAUCCCCUCUUUUGAACCUAUCAUAAAUGUCAUUGAGCCACACCGAUACAGCUGUGAGUGCACCACCUAUUGACAUCCUGAUAAAUGACGACAAAUUUCAGUAUUAUCCACAACAUGCUACAAAUGUUUAUCAAAUGAAACCACCGAAAGAAAUAUAAGAGAAAGCUAUGAGAAAAGAUAGACCAAGUCACCUGUGUACAUCUACAGACCACACCAGUUUGCUUUGACGGAAAAGCUCGGGAAAGAGCCCGCGUUUUGUUGCUUCGCUAAGAACCUUCGCUGCCCGGGCCUUUUGGCCCAACCACCAAAGUGCGUCCAGAAGCGCAUUGUAGAAUCUCAAACCAAAUCCACAACCUUCAGCGUUGUAUUUGUCGAAGGCAUAUUCCACCAUCUGCCAGUUGGAUUCGUCGUCAUACUCCCCUUUAAUCAUCGAGCCAAUCACCUGAUGACUGCUAGAAGCUCGAUUUGAUUUCAUUUCAUCCAGUAGUUCAUAUGCAUCAUCCCACCUGAUGUUAACGCAGAAAUAGUGAACAUAUAUGAAUAUAUAUGUAUGUUUAUUUUUCUUUUUUGAGAAAAAAUAUCAUCUAUGUUAUUCAUGGGAAGAGAGAAGUAGCUAAGAGUCAGUGAAUGUUUGGUUGGAUGUAAUUAGCAAUACAAUAUAGUUGGAGAUGCAGCAGUUACAACUACUAUCUCAUUGGGUCAGAUGUAGUAAAAAGAGCUGCAACUAUAAAUAAUUUAUUUGGUUGCAAGUAGUUGAAAAGUGCAUUGUAAAAUUUGUCACUUUAUGUGAGAUUACAUCUAAUGUACAAAAGAAAAUUAUGUUCUAUUUAAGAAGUGAUUACAGAGGUAAGCUUAUUUUUUGUUUAAAGUUACUCUCCUCAGUGGGCUAUUUGGUUGCAUGUAGUUAUAACUGCAUGCAAAUACAAAUUCGGUGUUUGAUUUGAUAUAUUUAACUUCAACUGCUGCAGUAGGAACAGCAGGAGGAAGUCCAACUGCAACAGUUGGAAUUACACUCAAAUUGACCGCAGCUCCAACUGCAGCCGCUGGAGAGAGUAACUUUAAGCAAAAUGUAAGCUUACCUCCCUAAUUAUUUUUAAACAAAAAAUAUAUAUUUUUUUACAUUGGAGCCUUGGAGGUAAUCUCACCAUCAUAUAUAUAAAAUGAUGAAAUUUUAAAAAUCAUUUCUCAACUGCAUGCAACCAAAUAAAUUAUUGUAGUUGCUGUGCUUUCUACUACAUCAAACCAAACAGGAUGCAUAUAGUUGCAAUUUCUGCAUUUUCAACUGCAUGCAUCUCCAAUUGCACUGCAUUUGUAAUUAUAUCUAACCAAAUGGCCCCCAAAUGCUGCAAUUGGAAUUUUGCCUAAGGAGGCCCAAUUGCUGCAAUUGGAACAGUUGGCCGCAGUUCCAACUGCAGCAAUUAGAUUCAAAUGCAUCAAACCAAAUACCGGAUUUGGAUUUGCAUAUAGUUACAAUUGCAUUGCAGUUGCAACUACAUGCAACCAAACAGGCUCUAAGUGGGUUUGGAAUGAUGCCAAAACAAAAAAAACAAAUGAGAGCAUCUUGAAGAUACACCUGCUAUAAAAUACUAUGAUCCCUAGAAGCAAAUGGAAGAUAAAAUAAGGAACAAGAUCAUGUUCACGCAUAAAGACAACUACACGUAACAUAAACGAUGAUAUCUACUUAAGGCAACGUACUGCUCUUUUGUAAUAAUCAUACGAGACAAUGACACUGUCAAAACAGCUGGUUGCGCUAGUUACAUAAAGUAACAAUACCAAGACAAAUUUCUACCACAAUAAUACUAUUUGCAUUAAAUGCUGCGUAGAACUUGAACAUCGCAUAACAAAAUGGAAGCAUUUAGUUGGUAAGAAAAAGAACAAGAUGCUAGCAUACUCAAACAAUGCAAAAUAAAAAAUAAGAAACACUAUAGAUUAUAUUCUAGCAAACAUUUAGCAUUAUAGGCUACUAAAAAUUGCUAUUAAUGACGAGUAGCUGAGUGCUGUUACAUACACUUCAACACUGUCAUCACCUCCAUCCCCAAAUUGAUAACUGUUUACAUUUUUCUUCUUAAUAGACAGGGGUGACAGAGCUAAAACAGCAGACCUCUCUAGUUACAAUAAAAACUGCAAUAGCAAGACUUAAUCAAUGUGCAUAAACAAUAUCAAAUGGUUGUGGCUGUCCCAAUGUUACAGAUGACAUAUGAUCCAUUACAGAACUGAAAUAUUACACUCUUGAAUGGAAGUACCCAAAUUCCAAAGUAAAACAAGCUAAUUUAAAUAAACAAAGCAAAGUAAUGACAAACAGCAGAAGGUCAUACUUUGGUGGACAUGUACCAUCAUAAGCUACGUCACUAUUGCAGAUCAAAAUGUAGGUGAACGUUGUUACGAUGAAUUGAUUUCUUUUUUUUCCCUAACAAAUUAUCUUGAAUUGAUUAAUGUGCUUUUUUUUAGAAUUUGCAUAUUUAAUGUGCCACAAGUUACAAUGCACUAUCUGUAUAGACAGAGUAGAGGGUAAGAAAGGAAACCAAAUUAGCAUGUUUACUUCACAUAUCAAAACAAAAUUAGCAAUUUCUACAAUCGUACUGAUUUCAUGUACUGUAACUUGAUGAAAAAGCUUAAUUAUAAUAGCAAGUACUAUAUAUGUUUGCAAUGAUAAACAGUAUCAAAGCACAUCACAUACUUGAAGGCAAACAUUUAUUGAAAUCGGCGAAAUAUAACAAGUGCAGCUGAUUUGGGUUUAAGAUCAAAGACCAAAAUACUACUGUAGUGAAAAGGAAUAAAUAAGAUAUAGCUGUAGUACUAUCACAGGCCACUAAAAUAUUGCAAAUCAAGAGUAGGAGAAUCUUUUUAUAGAUGCUUCAGUAUCAACCAUCAAUUCCAACAAUAUAAACUUGGCAAGAGAAAAGCACGAAAUUGAGAUAGCAUCACCUAACAAUGUUGUGGCUACUCGUGUGAUAAAUAUUUUGUGAACUCCUCUGAUAGAUAUAGGAGUUGACAACCAAAGAAAGUGACUCACUAUGAGUAACUUAGAAGGGCAUGAGCAUGCACUUUCCAACCGAUAUCGUCAACUCAUUUGAUUAGCUGACUCAAAGCAUGCCUCCUUGCAUUCAGACUAGGGCUGUAAAGAUAGGUAAGUUAGUCUCCAUACAAACAACUUGAAUUUCAGCCAUCUCAAUUUGGAAUUGGUUUUUCUUUUUUCCCCAUGAGUGAACAUGAUUUCAUAAUGCAGGCCAAUUUCAUUUGGUGCCUCUUCUUGAUGCUAUUGUGAGACCUUCGAUCAGAGCACCUGCUUGAUGUCCUUCUGUAAGGGCCUCAGCUUUCCACUGAUAUUCAAGUUUCAUACAAGAAAUGUGGUCCAGAACAUAAUUAGGAAACACACCCCUGAAUUUCUCACUGCUCUCUAAUUCAGAUUCUGAUCUAAAUAUAUCCUACAACAUUGUUAGCUCAUAUAGUAAAUAAAAAAUGCUCUGUCAUUUGCUAGUUGGGUCUCACAAAUAUCGCAGGCUAGAUGUGUGAACUUGCAGUUAGUUUGACCUGCAAUGUAAAAAACUGAAAACGCAGACUUUGCAUAUGGCAAUACCUAUUAUUCUGAGAAUCUAAUGUUUAAAAACUCAAAUCCCCUCAGUAUGAACAGCUAGCAGGACUUUAAAUCUGCUUCAUUCCCUUAAAUAUAGUUCUCAUUAUUGAUAUUCUACGAGAGUAUUCAGUGUAAACAUAUAAAGAUAAGUGAGUAUCUUAACAGGUGUUAGUUGCCAUGACAGCUGCCCCAUAUGUAUAAUUAGACUGAAAGCUUGUGCCGUUGCUCAUGCUAUAGUAGCCAAUUUAUUGCAAGUCAUACCUUAAAAGAAAUCUACUUCAGACUAUACUGUUGAGAUUCAACCACAUCAAAUGGAAUUGAAGCAUUUUAAUGGAUGAUGUCUGCAUCUAUCUAUAAACAGUAAAGUUGUCUCAUACAAUCUGACAAGAAAAGUUGGCGUUCACUCAGCUCCGAUUUCUAGAGAGCAUGCCGAUUUUUCUAUGCAGGACUUGAAGGAAAUAUCUGAUUAUCAUGCUUACUUCAGUAACUACUUGAAUCAUCAGAGUAGGAUUGUAAUUCACAUACGCUUAUACAAGUGAUAACAUUCAAAUUAGUUCCAAGAUACUAAAAGGAAGCGGAAUCCUCUAAAUUUUGCGGAGAAAUAGGAUAUAGUUUAUUAUGUAACAACAAAGAAAACAAGAAUAAUAACACAGGAAAUUUCAAAGACAAAAAGGCCAUACUAAAAAAUUCGCAUGCCCCCUAAAAGUAGUCACUUAGCAUAAUUAUGCACAAACAGCUAAUUAUUCCAGGCAAAUGAACUGAUAUAAAGAGUUUUUCCCGCUGCGAAAAUAUUUGCUAACAACGACCUUUCUGGAAAAGGGAAAAGAACGUCGUAUUUCAAAUUUCCUAUUCUGAAAAGCUUCUGCAAGAAAAUGAACUGUUGUGUCAUCAACUUUUCCAUGAUAAGGGUGGCUUAUUUGCAGUUCACUUAGUUGCAGUUAUGAUGAGUUGAUAGGUGAUGAAAGUAUAUCUCCACUCAUUUGGCAUUAUCCACUAGUUUAAGAUCAAAUAAAUACCCUGCCUGGCACUAAAUUACGGAACAACACGACAGAUUAUUCUAACACUGCACAUUGGCAAGCCCUAGGCCCUAGCACCUCGGCAAAACCUCCUACAAAUAUUAUAGUGUUAUCUACCGCAUCAUAUUAAGCAUCUUUAAUGAGGAAUUUUCAUAGCAAUACAUUAGAAUAUCAGAAAGAUUAAUGGGCAAAGAGAGGUUGCGGACCGAAAACAAGGAAAGAAAGGAAUAUAAGACGUUGAUUAGGGACUAAUUACCUGUCAUUCUUAGCAUACAGAGAGAGGAGCAUGCAGUAAGCCGUGAUGCUGGGCACGACCCCCAUUGCCUGAAUUUCUUGGAACUGCUCCUUGCUCUCGUCGACAAGCCCGGCCGUGCAGUAGACGUUUAGAACCGCCUCGAGAGUCCGCUCGUUCGGAUUGCACCUCGACUUGCGCAUUUCCACAUACGCCUUCAGGGCAUCCUCGAAGUGCCCGCCCUGGCAAUACGCUUCGAUGAGCCCGUUGAACGAGUCCUCGUUUCUCUGAAUCCCGGCUCCGUCCAUCCGCGCGAGGAUCGCCUGCGCCUCCUUGAAGAGGCCGCCUCUCGCGAACGAGCGCAGCAGGGAAUCGUAGGUCUCCGCGGUCGGGGGGCUCCCGAUCUCGUGCAUCGUGUUGAAAGCAACGAAAGCCUCCUGGUACAGCGCCGCCUGCCCGUAAGCCUCGACGACUCCGGUGUACGCCUUGGCGCUGGGCACGAGCCCUCCGGCGGUCAUGUGGGCAAGAACGGCCUUGGCGUCUUCGUGGAGCCCGCCCCUGCCGCAGGCGGAGACGACGCCCUCGUAGGUCUCCAUAUUGGGCUCCACAUUCUCCUCCAGCAUGUCGCGGAACAGCGUGACCACCUCCCGGAAGUAGCCCCCCUCCCCGAAAACUGCGAUCAGGAUGUUGUAGGUGGCGGCGUCGGGGGCCGUGCCGCCGACCUUCAUCUCCAGGAAGAGCUCGCGGACGUCGUCGUAGCGCCCGCUGCGGCCGUAGAGGCCGAGCAGGAGGCUGUAGGUGGCGGCGGUGGGGGCGCAGCCGGCGGCCUGCAUCUGGCGGAGCACGGCGACGGCCUCGCGGGCGGCGCCCCGGCGGGCGUAGGCCUCGACGAGGACGUUGUAGGCGUCGGGGUCGUCGCGGGGGAGGUGGCCGCCGGCGGCCAUCUCGGCGAGGAGCUGGGGGACGCGGUCGAGGCGGCCGGCGGCGGCGAAGGUGUCGACGAGGCGGGCGUGGGUGGCGCGGUCGGGGGCGACGCCGGCCUCGAGCAUGGCGCGGAGGACGAGCUCGGCCUGGUCGGGGAGGGCGCGGGCGGCGGCGGCGGCGAGGAGCGUGUUGUAGGUGACGAGGUCGGGGCGGACGCCGUCGUGGCGCAUCUCGGCGAAGAGGGAGAGGAGGCGGUCCCAGGGGAGGUCGGCGCGGGCGCAGGCGCGGAGCGCGGUGUUGUAGGUGAGCGCGGUGGGGGCGACGCGGUCGCGGCGCAUCUGGGCGAGGAGGGAGAGCGCGGCGGCGUGGUCGCCGUUCCGGGCGAAGGCGUUGACGAGGGCGGUGUAGGAGAGGGCGGUGCGCGGGACGGAGUGGGCCGGCAUGUCGCGGAAGACGUCGAGGCACUUGUCGAGCAGGCCCUCGCGGCCCAGCACGCCGAUGAGGAUGGCGUGGAUGUGCUCGUCGGGGCGGCACCACGACUGCCGCUGCAUGUACUUGAAGAGCCGGAGCGACCGCUGCCAGUCGCCGCGCCGCGCGAACUCCCGGAAGACCAGCGCGAAGUCCGCGAGGGACAGCCGCUGCCGGAACGCCUCCAGGCAGCGCGCGAUGCUGCCGCGCGGCGGCAGGCUGCUCAGCUUGUCGAUCAGCGUCUCCACGUCGUACCCGUACUUGCCCUUCUCCACCGCCACCGUCGGCUUCCCCAGCACCAUCUCCCGCGGCGCCGCCCUGCUCCUCCCCCCCGAUGCCGACGCCAAAACUAACCGAUGACCAGGCCGAGCCCGAGGCCGCGCCCGCGCCCCCGAAUUUGCAAUAAUAAUAGUACAUGAGGAUGAUGAAGAGAAUAAUAAUAAGGAGGGGGCGGUGAGGAGGAGGAGGGACAUUUCCCUACUGUUUUUGCUGAUUCUUUUUUUGCUGCCGAGUUGUUGUUGUUUUGUCUUGGAUUUGGGAAGGAAGAAGGUGGUGUCGGUUUAGUUUAAUCCUCCCGUCCGGCCGGCGCGGGAUGGAGCAGAGCCAGAGCUGGGGAGGAGAGCUGACUGACUGCAGUGGCUUUGGGAGGGCGGGGUUUUACAGUUGGAAACGCUGCGCGUUUGUGUGUGGAUAACGAUGGGUUCAAAAAUCAACAUUCGUUCGAGCCGACCAGUGCUGCUGGGCGCCUAGUGCAAAGAUUAUUAUGCCAUUCUGGUCCGCAAGAUGGUUGCUGGCUGGUCCUAAAACCGAAGGAAUAAAAAAAAAAAAAAAAAAAAAACUUUUCGAUCACAGUUAUUUUAUGUGAAUAUACUACUGUAUAAUUAAAGAUAAUUUUAAUAUGGACAAAUUAAAUUUUUGAUCCUAAAACUAUACCGUGCUUGAUAUUUUGAUUUCCAAAUUUUAAUUUAUUGCACAGUUUAAACUUUUUGAAUUAUUAAAAUCAACUCUAUAAUUUAAUUUAGUUGACUAAAUAUAGAUAAAUUAUUAAUUUGAAGAAAUGCAACAUGACUUUUUUAUAAAACAAUCCUCUAAAAUUUUAAAAUUUGCAAAAUAGCCCUCUCAAAAUUUUAUUUGUAAAACUAACAAUCUUUUCGCCACAUCGGUGCCACGUCAGAAUUUCUUUUAAAGGCGGUGAAUCGUUCACCGCGUUCUCCCAUUUUUUUUAAAGGCGGUGAAUCAUUUACUGUUUUCUCCCAUUUCUUUUAAAGACGGUAAAUCAUUCACCGCCUUUCAUUUAUUUACUGUUAUUUUCUAUAUCACAUAUAUAAUCCUAAUAACCACAUAAAAAUUCUAACAAAUCACAUAUAAUCUUAACAACUUUUAAAUCUUAAUAAUUUAUCCAUAUAAUUUCAUAUAAUCUUAACUGCCUUUAUAUGAACUUAUAUUGAUAAAUUAUAUAAAGGCAGUUAAGAUUAUAUGAAAUUAUAUGGAUAAAUUAUUAGGAUUUAAAAGUUGUUAAGAUUAUAUGGAAUAUAGAAAGAAACAGUAAAUAAGUAAAAGGCGGUGAAUGAUUUACCGUCUUUAAAAGAAAGGCGAGAAAGCGGUGAACGAUUUACCGCCUUUAAAAGAAAUAGGUAAAAGCGGAAAACGAUUCACCGCCUUUAAAAAAAAAUAAGAUAAAACGGUGAACGAUUCACCGUCUUUGUAAGAAAACCCCGACGUGGCGUCCACGUGGUGAAAGAAGGGUUAGUUUUACAAAUAAAAUUUUUACAUAGUCAUUUUGCCAAUUACAACUUUUUAGAGGGUCAUUUUAUAAAAAAAGCCCAAUGCAACACCUUAAUUAUUGUGUUAUUAUCAAUCACAAUGCUUUCAUGUCACUUCUAUAUCAAUAAUUUAUCAAUAUUUUGCCAAUUAAAUUAGAUUGUGGGAUUUAAUUGCGAACAAUUCGGAUAGUUUUUUAAAUAAGAAAUUAUAAUAAAUUAAAAUUUAAGGACCAAAGUAUCAAACGCCUUAUAGUUUGAGGACCAAAAGUGUAAUUUAUCCUUUUAAUAUAUAUUUAUAAAUAUGAGAAUAAAGAUUUUUAAAUAUAAUUUUAAUAUACAAUUAUCAAAUUAUUUAUGAUUAGGUUUUUUCGGCCAAUUUGUAUAAAAAAAUUUAUUAGUUUUAAGCUUUUGCAAAAAAUAGGUCACUUUUUAGAUUUUGCAGAUUCGGACCGAAUUUUUAGAAAAUUGACCAAAAUACUCUUAUCUUUUUUCUCUCUCCUUUUGUUUUUUCUCAUUCUUUAUUUUCUUUCUCUUCGAAGAGGACACUGCCAAUUUGGACAGUCCGGGUCCGAAAUAGACCCGCCGAACGGAUAGAGUUUUUUCUGUCCAUCUAAGGCGUAAACAAAGUCUGUGCAUACAUACAUACACAGAUGCAAGAGAAAUAAAGCUAUCUAUUACAUCACGUUUUCACAUAUCUAGUUCACAUGAAACUAGCAUAUUCUCACAAUAUGUCAACAUGCAUAUGUCCUCUAGCAUCUCAUGCACAUAUCUAGUAUUUCUCACAAUAUGCCCACAUGCAUAUGUCCUCUAACAUCUCAUGCAUACACAUAUAUACAUCUAGCUCAACAUCAUGCAAAUAAUAUACAUCUACAAGUAUCAUGCAACACUAGUUAAGGACCCGCGCUUCGCGGCGGACGAAUAAAAAAUAUUAAACCAAAAAAACUAUUUGUAUAAAUUUUUUAAUAUUAAAGAUUCGGACAAGUCUGAGAACAUAACAAAAUAAAUGUCUAUUCAUUAAUGACAAAAAUCUGAAAAAAAUGCAGAAGUAAUAAGUAGAAUAAAUUUAUUAUAUCGUCAUGGUUCGCUCUUGCUAUUGCUCGGGCCAUCAUCUUCUGCAAAUCUAUGAGAUUCGGUCAUAUCUGAGAACAUAACAAAACCCGCUCUUCGCGGCAUACGAAUAAAAAAUAUUAAACAAAAAAAACUAUUUGUAUAAAUUUUUGAAUAUUACAAGAUUUGGUCAAGUCUGAAAACAUAACAAAAUAGAUGUCUAUUCAUUAAUGACAAAAAUCUGAAAAGAUGCAUAAGUAAUAAAUAGAAUAAUUUUAUUAUAUCAUCAUGGUUCACUCUUGCUAGUGCUCGGGCCAUCAUCUACUGCAAAUCUAUGAGAUUCAGUCAUGUCUGAGAACAUAACAAAAUAAAUGUCUAUUCAUUAAUGACAAAAAUCUGAAAAGAUGCAUAAGUAAUAAGUAGAAUAAUUUUAUUAUAUCGUCAUGGUUCGCUCUUGCUAUUGCUCGGGCCAUCAUCUUCUGCAUGCGAGGCUCAGAACAGUGGAUCUCUAAGUAAAGAACUAUGGCAAAUUCCGCAUAAACGAUAACGCUGCAACAAAUAGCCGCAGGCUACAGAGAUUGAACUGAGCCCUCAAGGUCUGCUGGAAAUCGAAGACAGCUGAUAUUACACCAAGCCUGUAGGGCCUGCCUGGAGGCCAGAAUUGCAAGCCCCCUAAGCUAAAGGUAAAUGGUAGAUACUAUGGGCCAGCAGGAAUUGUCCAAAGACUGCAUCGACUGCCCCGAGGCCAUUCGACCUAGGCAGAACUGUGGAUCUCCUAAGCAAAGGACUACGCCAAAUACCAUGUGGACAGUAACUUUGCAACAAUUAGCGACCGGCUGUAGGGACUGCCGCGAGACUGCAGGGGCUGCCUCGAGACCAUGCGCGCGACCUGCCAUGCCGUUGCAGAUAAUUUCUGUAGGGAAAGACAACCUCGGCAAACUGUCCAUUUCAUCAUCGCCUCGCAUUAAAGAGCGAAAGGAAAAACAACAGCAAACAAAGAAGUUAUAAAAAAUAUAAAAGAAUAAGUAGGAAAACCGAGGUAUCUUAAAAAUUCCAUCCAAAACCAAAUUGUAAAACCCAGGUAAAAGCAGGAAAUUAUUAACAGCAACUUGGCAACAAAUAGCCACAGGCUGCAGAAAUUGUCGUAAGACAGUAGUGACUGUCCCGAUGCAAUUCAAUCUGCCAUGCCAUUGCAGGCAAAUUCAACAUCUGAAAACAAAUUCAAUAGAGAAGAUAACUCUCACAAACCGUCCAACAGCAAAUAGAGAAAAAUCCGAAAAAAAAUAUAAGAGUAUAAGAAGGAAAACCGAGAGAUCACAAAAAUCUCAUUUUAAAAAAAUUCUAAAACCCAGACCAUAAACAAAGCAACCAUUAGGCAUCCAACAACCCAAGCAACAUGAAAUUCCAAACGCAAGACAACAUGAGAAGAGAACAGGAAGAAGCCGAAGAAUCCAUCAGAAGACCAGACCUCCACUGUGCGGGCAAUCACGGCAUGAAAAAUAUCAGAGAUAGAAACCUAUUUGCAAGUUGGGAAGAAAGUGGGCAAGGAACUUAUCAACCAAGGGAGGUUAUAUAUAAACCAGUGUGAGAACAAAGCAAAAGGAGUGAGAGGAGAAGGAAGGUAAAGCGUCGUGGCCGAGCGGCGUAGUAUACUGUUAUGAUGAGACCCACGCCGCUCGAUAAUGGAAGGGCGUACGGCGCUGCAGCUCACCAAUCUCUGGGAAGCGACGGCCCCGCAGCGAGCAUUAAAUGCCCAAAUUUGGGCUAGAGAAUGGCAGAUCGAGGGGAGAUCUGCCAGAUCUACGGUAGAGAAUGGGGGAAGGCAAGCCUCGUCCGAAUGGCAUUUAAUGCCCAGAUCCGGGAUAGGUAGAGGCGUACGGGACAGGCCAGAACCAUCUCCGGAAAACCGGCGAUUCCAGAUCUAAGCUAAAGAAGGGGGAAGCCAAUCUCCGGCCGAACGGUAUUUAAUGCUAAGAUCCGGGGUAGAUAGGGGCAUACAGAGCAAGCCGGACCCAUAUCCGAAAAUUUGGAGGUUCGACGGCACAUUAAAUGCCAAGAUCCGGCGAAGUGGCGGUUAAGCGGCGUAAGGUACAACCCCUACAGAUCCGGGUUAGACAGGGGCGUACGGAGCAAGCCGGACCCAUAUCCGGGAAACCGGAGGUUUGACGGCACAUUAAAUGCCAAGAUUCGAUGAAGCGGCAGUUGAGCGGCGUAAGGUACGACCCCUACAGGGAGGUCGGUAGAGAGAGAGAGAUUGAAGGGAUUGGAGGGAGGAGUGGAGGUGCCAGGGAGAGGGGACCCACGGGUCAGAUGGGUGAGAGAGAGGGAAAAAAAAUUGGAGAGCGGGGGCGUAGCACAGUAUAGGGGGGACCCACGGGUCAGAUGGGUGAGAGAGGGAGAAAAAUUUUUUUGGGGGCCCACAUCACCGAAAUGAAGGAGAAACUGCAAAAUGGUUAAGGGUUCGCCCUUUAAUGUUAUUGUAUAGAUGGAUCAUCAUCCCUGACACUAAAGAAUGAAUUUACUAAGAACUCAUAGGUUUCUCACAUAAUCCCAAGCAUGAUGCUAUAUGAUCAAUAUGCAGAACUUACACAUAGAAUCAAAUUUGGCUAAUUCGGAUAGCACCUCUCGCUUCGUGUCGACAGAGGCGGAGACGGCGCGCCUCGCCUUUGUCCUGCGUGCUCUGGCCCGCGCAUGCACACCAUCCCUCCACCUUCCUCGCCUCCGACCCCGCCGACGCUGUGCGAUGACCCUCUUUUCUUCUUUUUUUUUUCUCUCUGACCCACAUCCACCGUCUACCCGGCUCUUUACAACAGUAAAGAAGGCAGCGUCUUGUUCUCUUCCUCUCCCUUUUCUCUCUCGUUCUUUUUUUUUUCUCUUUGACCCUCCUCCACUGCUUCCGCGACCUUCCACGAUGGUAGCGAGGACAGCGCAGCAUCCUCUUCCUUCGCCUUCGCCAGCGCAGGCUUUCACGCCCUGGGAUCCCUUUUUGUAAGCCAUUUUGAAAUUGGACUAUCUUUGUAAAUCAGAGUCUACGAAAAAGAGCCAAUUUUUUUUAACAUUGACCUAGGAAUGUAAUAGACCCGCCACAAAUACAGAAAACUCUCCGUUCCAAACUGAUGAAGUCUCCCCUGUAUUUGCAUGGCUUAGCACAUAAUACAAGUAUCAACCAUGACCUCUACUCACACAAACAAUAUUCAUGAGUCACAAGAAUUAUCAUUUCAAGUUUCACAUUCAUUCCUACUAGUUAAAAGUGCCUCCCACCUGAAGGCUUCACUUUUAAACUUUAGUUUUCUGAAAAUCCACAAAAAGCCGAAAAAUCAUUUUAAAAAUUGUUUCCUACAUGAAAACUUUUGUUUUGGAAAUACUACCACGAGGGGUAGAAAAUCACAUUCUGAAAUCCGAAUCCAAAGUCAUAGUGUCCAAAAACCACGAAUAUUCUAAAAAUCCAGAGUAACCAAAAACUCAUAAUUAUGUCAUCCAAGAAUCCGCGAAUAAAAAUCAUCAACUGAACUACAUAUAACAACUACUAACAGGUAUAGAGGGUAAACUAUACUAUCUCAUGUAUACAAUAAGCGUCAAAUCAGAAUUGAUACCGUAAGGUCGGGAUCUCUAUCUCACGCUAUUUAUAGCCUCACGCAUCAUCCCAACCCUCACCAUCUAAGCUACCUGAAAAAAAAAAAGUGGGGGCUGAGAACAUGUAAACAAGUCUCCCCUUCCCAGUGGUAUCACAAAUCGACGAAGGCAAACUGCACACUCUCACAAAUGGAAGGGAUAAACAACGAUAGUGUCACGCCUCGGGGUCUCUUUUAGUUUGAAACACAGCGGAAAAGCAUCUAAAUUUUUUUUUGAAAACCUGACCCUAGAGUAUGCCAGAUUUGCCACAAACACAAGAAAUCUACUGUUCACACAGACAGAGUCUUCCCUGUAUUUGCACGGCGUCGCACAAGUACAAGAUGUUCAAACAGAGUAUAACCAGGAUACAAUCAUAAUACAUGAAUAUACAAUACACAACAUUUAUUCACCAUUCAUCAGAUAUUUACCAUUCAGUGUUUAAGCAUAAAAACCACGAGAAAACUCUUUUGAAAGCUCUUUUCCACACAGAAACCUUUUCUUUUUAAAACACGCUACCACGAGGGGUAGAAAACUAUUUUUCCUUUUCACAAAAUCCACGAGUUCUAUAGUUCAUUCAAAACCACAUGAAUUCGAAUAAUAUAAACCAACUGAACCAUGAAAUAUUAAAGCUAUUAAUAACAAAAGUAAACAGGGUAGGAACUAAACCAACAAACUGGGUCGGAAGCUCUAGCAACCACUACAAAUGUGUCUCACGUCUCGUCUCAACUCUCAGCGCUCGCGAUACCUGAAAAAUGGUGGGGGAGGUGAGAACAUGUAAACAUGUCUCCUCUCCCAGUGGGUACCGCAAGCCGAUGAAGGCGAGGAGUACUCACCGGAUCAGGAAGAGAUAAACAACAAUAUGGGUAAGCUUAAAUGCAGUAGCAACGAUAAUGAACGAAAGUUUUUAUAUCUUAUUCCCGCCUGCGCGUUUUCGUGUUUUUAAGGUCGGUUUGUUUUCUGGAUCAGAACAUAGUUAGUUAAUUCACGAAUUAUUCGCGAAUUUUUUAAAUGCCAAAUUAAACACAGAAUAAUUCGCGGUUUUUUGAGCAAAAAUAAUUAUUCGCGAAUAAAACGGGAUUCACGAAUAAUUCGGUCCAAAAAAAAAGGCCCUCUUGCUUGCGACUGUGAGCGGACUUGUGGGCCUCGCGAUGGCCCAAAACAGAAAAAAGAACCUGUCGCCCAAAAAUAGAAAAAAAGAAAAGAAAAGAAAGGAUUUCUGAAAACCAUCGCCCCCCUCCCACGAGGCGACGACUCCCACGCUCCCACCCCGACCCCUCCCAAAAAAAAGGGUUUGCCCUAACUUCUCACUCCUGCGGCGGUGCGGCCCUGCCAUCGACCCCUGCGGCGGUCUCCCUCUUCCCUUCCGGCCGCUCGCCGAUCGCCAUCGGAAGCCCUCCUCUUCAGAAGUCGAAGAUCGAAGAUCGGGUUCUUCACUCUUCAGAAAUCGAAACCCUCCUCGUCGCCUCUUCCUCUCCCGCUUCCGCUUCCUCUCCCGCUUCCGCUAUCCAACGAUAGAUCAGUAAUCGGGUGGUUCUUUACAAACCAGGUACGAUUUGAGUUUUUUUCAUUCUUCAAAGAAAAAGUUGAAAGCUUUUAGUCAUCUGAUGGAUACUUUUUUAUACACAAAUGGCGCCUCGAGUGCUUAAAUUGAAUGUGUCCAUUCUCUGUUAUGCACAAAGAAGACCCAAACAUAGUGCUAAAUAAAUAAUCUUAAUUAACUUUGGGACCAGGAACUCUUGUAUUAUACCUAAUCAAUUUCAUGAUCUUUGUCGACACUUGCAAAAGGAAAAUUUUGUUGUGGUCUUUCAUGGACCAUUGACUCACUGGGGUUUCUACUUAAUUUUUGAGACAUAACUUUGGGACCAGGUACUAUUUGAGUUUUCAUUCUUCAAAGCAAAAGUUGGAAGCUUUUACAUUUAAAUAUGGACUAUUUUGAUCACUUAUUUGCUUAAUUAUUUCUUUAUUUUGAGGCAUAAUAUAGUUUACUAUUUUUUUUUACUUAAUUAGUUUAAUUUUUUAGGUUUUUAUUUUUAUAUUCUUAAAAAAUAUGAGUAUUUAUGCUAAUAGCAUAAAUCUUGAGAGGAAAAAAAUUUAAUUUAAUAGCCGAAUUUUUGAUCCCGAAUUUUUAAUUGGUGAACGUAUAAUAUCCGUAUAAAUCACGUAUCCGAAUAAUUGGCGAAUCCGUUUUUUAGCCUUUUUUUCAACGAAUUUAAAAAUUAGAAAACGAAUUUUAUCCGAAUUAUACCCGUACCGAAUUUUUGCCGAAUCCGAAUUAACUAACUAUGCUCUCAACCUCGCACACGAUGGCCAUACUGGGAAGGAUUGUUCGCCGAGGUGAUCCCUCUUGACGUCGCACCUCCGCGGCGUCUCUGCCCUCCUCUCCCGCUUUCGCGCUAAGAUCUCCAAACUCCGCUUCUUCCUCCGCCAUCCGUCCCCUCUCUGCUCGAAGCAAGCGCACAUCAACCGCCUCUAGUGCCCCUUCUGCGCCCUCGACCUCCGCGAGCUCGCCAGCGCCUUCGCAUGGUACCCCCCCACUUCUCGAUGCUCCUAGAUCUAGGGUUUUGUGAGAUUCCAUGUUUGAUGUGGGUUUCAAUGUUUCAUCAUUUUGGUUGUUGUGAUUGAUUAUUCGCAAUAGCAACGCGAUCCAUCAUUUGGCAAGCGAAGAACAUCUGAGGAACUAGCUUGAUCAAGUCGAUUUGUUUAGUGUUUUGGAGGCGGAGCUGCUCAAGGUGAGUGCAUGAUUCAAUUUGAAGUAAUUUUUUAAUGAUUUUUGGCCUCUGAAAUUUCUAAAGUAGAAGCUAGCUUGAUCCUGGUGUUUAUUUGCAUCAAGUAAAUUUAAUGCUUGUUAAGUUUACUCUAUGACCGUAAAGUAAGUUGAACUAGAUGCUAAUUAGAUGCACUACGACUGUAAAGUAAGUUAGUUUUCUAAGGACACUAUUGUGAUUUCAUGUAGUUCAUGAAAAUAGUUUCCUCAAUGUUGAGUUUUUUUAAUGAGUUUUUGUACAUAUACUUCCUUAUAUUUUUUUUUCAGAUAUAUAUAUAUAUAUAUAUAUAUAUAUAUAUAUAUAUAUAUAUAUAUAUAUCAUUGUUUGAGAAGGAUUUUAAGUGAAAUUGUUAUUUUUGUAUAAAUUAUUUGAUAAAGUCAGCUAAAGAUGUACAACGAUUGAAGUGGCUAGAUUCGUGUUGGAGUUUUCCUAAUUUGAAGAAAUUAAAUUUAUUUUGAGUAUAUUAAAUCAUAAAUGACAAAAAUUUCAAAGAAAAUAAAAAUUCAACUAUUUUGCCUCCAAUUUAUACAAGAUCACUUUUGACAAAGUGCAAGAAAAAAUAAAAUUUAAAAGUAUUUGAGAAGAAUUUUUAGAGUUUUUGAUGGAUGAGAAGUGAGUUAGGGCGUAAACGGCGUAAAAACAAAGUUUUAGAAUGAGAAAAAAGAACCGGAUACGACUUACCUAUUUGGCAAAGCCCUCGAACAAAUAUUAAUUUUUUUCCUUUAAUUAAGUUUUGCAUUUGGUUUUUAACUUUGUGAGCUUAAAAAAAUUGAAAAACUAGACUAGAUUUAUAACGUCACUCCUUGCAGGAGGAUGCUCUAUGUGCUCCAUAAGUGUUAUAACUAUAUUUUCUUUUGUUCCUUUUAUAGGUUAUUUAUAUAUAUUCAAAGUUAUAAUUCCUAAUGAUGGAUAAAAGUUGGAUUAAUAAGCCGAGAAAUACCAAGGAUUAUCUCGAUGGAGUUGCUAAUUUUGUUAAAUCAGUAAAUGAGAAGGCCUCUAUUAAUGGAAAGAUUUAUUGUCCAUGUUGAAAAUGCUUUAACCGUUCCUUAUAUAUUUGUUUCAGAAAUUGUUGAGGAACAUUUGGUGUGGAAUGGGUUUUUUUUAGGCUACAUUGACUGGGUCCUUCAUGAGGAGUCAUUGUCUGGGGCAUCAAAUGAAGCUCAUCAUAGCCAAGACAUCCAAUUUAAUUUAGGAUCUACUAAUGUGCAAGACCCUAUAGGACGAUGCUAUGUGAAAAUUGUAUCAACCGGUCCUCGUCGAGAAUUGGUUUAAGAUGUUUUUGGAUUUAAUUCUGAAAAUUUAGGGCAAUCAAGUGAUAAUGAUGACAUCAAAUAUUUGGGUGAAUCUAGUGAAGGGCAACAAGCAAACAGUGCAUUCGAUAGGUCCAUGCCUUCAUCUGAUAAAGACACAGCUCGGUAUCGCAACUUGUUACAAGAUUGUGAUAAAGAACUUUACCCAGAUUGUAAAAGUUACUCAAAAAUAUCUUUUCUUGUCCACCUAUUUCAUCUCAAAUGCUUGUAUGGGUGGUCCGAAGAGUCUUUCUCUAUGUUGCUUGAACUAUUAAAAGAUGCAUUUCCGGAAGGCACUUCUUUACCAUUAUCCUCUUAUGAAGCUAAAAAACUGAUAAAAGAAUUGGGUCUUGGGUAUGAGAAGAUUCAUGCUUGUAACAAUGAUUGCAUGUUGUAUUGGGGUGAAAGGGCGAAUCAAGACUCUUGUCAUGUAUGUGGUUCUUCAUGAUGGGUCAAAAAUAAAGAUUGUGACACUAACUUUUUGAGUAAAAAGGAUAAUAUGCUCAGUAAAGAAAAGGCAGUCAAGGUAUUGCGCUAUUUUCCUCUUAUUCCACGAUUAAAGCAACUUUACAUGUCAUCAAAGAUCGCUGCCUCUAUGAGAUGGCAUAUUGAGGGCCGCACAAAAGAUGGAAACUUACGACACCCAACAGAUGGCUUAGUAUGGAAAUCAUUUCUCUCGUUAUCGAGAUUUUGCUUUUGAUCCUCGCAAUGUUAGGCUCGGUCUCGUUAGCGAUGGAUUUAAUUCAUUUCAAACAAUGAAUUCCACUUAUAACACUUGUCCAAUUCUGUUGAUUCCAUAUAAUACCACCAUUGUUGUGCAUAAAACGAUCAUUAUUUAUCUUAUCUAUAGUAAUUCCUAGUGAAAAAGGUCCUGGUAAUGAUAUUGAUAUUUAUUUGUAACCUCUAAUAGAAGAAUGAAAACAGUUAUGGGAAGGUGUUGAAGCUUUUAAUGCUUUUAGCAAGCAAAAUUUUAAUUUGCGAGGAGCUCUUCUUUGGACGUUUAGCGAUUUCCCAGCAUAUGCCAACCUAUCUGGUUGGAGCACUAAAAGGCGCGUUGCUUGCCCUUGUUGUGGAAAUUCAACUUAUUCAUGUUGGUUAAAGCAUGGGGGAAAGUUUUGUUACAUGGGUCAUCGCCAAUGGUUGGACAAACCAUCUUUUUAGAUUUCAAAAGAUUUCGCUCUGGAAACGACAUCAUCAUAUGCCUCAAGGUGUAGCGGUGCGAGACCAAUGCGAAUAUGUCCAUUCAAUCCUUCCUCAAAUCUCUUAGCUCGUGACUCAUCAUCAUUUACCAGUUUUGGGGCGAAGUGGGACAGUCGGUCAAACUCAGCCUCGUACUCCACAGACAUCGAACCUUGCUUCAAAUCCAGAAAUUGUCUUUCAAGCUAGCGAAGCUUGCUCCUUGGAAAGUACUUUGCAUAAAAUGAUAAUCAAAAAUCCUUUCAUGAAAGGGCUGCUAAAUUAUUGCCGCGAGUUCUCAACUCGCUUUUCCACCAAUUAUUUGCUCUGCCUUGAAGCAUGAACGUCCCGAAUCUCACUUUCUCCUCAUCGGUGCACUGCAUGGCCGAAAAUGCCUUCUCCAUCUCUUUGAUCCAAGUUUCCACUUCAUCCGGAUUUGUAGUGCCUGAAAAAGAUGACGGUGUAGAUUUCUUAAACUCAUUGAUGCUCCUCUCUCGAACUCUGGAAUUCGACUCAAUGGCACUAGGAACAAGAUUCUGAUGCAAACUCUGUUGCUGAGUUUGAACUAGCCCGACAACAGCUUGAAUCAAGGUGGCAACUAGGGGAUCCAUCGUGAUACUCUGAGGUAAAAUGGCGGAGUGGGUGGGAAUAGUGGUUUGUGGUGGAGGCGGAACAAAGCCAGAAGGUGCAGUCGACGGCGGAAACGAAGGUAGUGGGAGCGGCCGUCGAAGGCAUCCCCAUAUUAAUAGUCUGCUGCAGAGGUGGAGCAAAAGCCGAAGGAUUUAUUUGAGGCGUUGCGGUCGAUUGUAGCGGAUUCUGGGUAGUAGGCGGAACAAUGGUCUGAGGUGGAACAGUUGCCGAGGAUGUGGUAUUCAAAAGUGAGGCUAAUGUGGCGUUCAUAUCUGCAUCUCCGGAUACGGCUGGAGAUGGGUUCCUCUAUUGCUCGUUGUUGGUGUUGCCACGGCGGGACGGAUGCACUAUCUUUUAUUAAGAGAAGAGAUCACAACCAUAUUAAUACGAGAUGUUAAUCGAAACUACAAAGCAGCAGCGCAACAAAUUUAGAUAUACGCUUACUUCUGCCCAUCCUCACACGUCCUAAUAAUCACUCACUGUCCUAUACCUUAAAAAAAUUCCUAGAGAUCUUAAACCUAUGCUCUGAUACCAAAUGCAACGACCCGACCCGCUAGCAAUAAUAACUCGUUGAGCCCAAACCACCGUCAAAAUGCUUAAGCCUAGUUAUUAUUACUAGCGUGUAGGCCAUCGGGUCAGAUCACAACAAACAGACCAGGACCAGAAUUACCAGGCGAUGUAAAAUUCUAGAAGUGGCUCAUACGGGUUUAAGAGGUGGCUCUCACCAAAUCCGUUGGUGUAGCAUUUUGUCCCGCAUAGCACUUAGCUCUCACAUUUUCGACUAGUAUUCGGCCAUGAUACCAAAUGCAACGACCCCGACCGUUAGCAAUAAUAACUCGUUAGGCCAAACCACCGGCCCAAAAUGCUUAAGCCCAGUUAUUAUUGCUAGCGUGUAGUCCAUCGGGUCAGAUCACAGACAGACAAACCAGGACCAGAAUUACCAGGCGAUGUGAGAUUCUAAAAGUGGCUCCUAAGGGUUCAAGAGGUGGCUCCCACCAAAUCCGUGGGUGUAGCACUUUGUCCCGCAUAGCUCUUAGCUCUCACACUUUCGGCUGGUAUUCGGCUCUGAUACCAAAUGCAACGACCCGACCCGCUAGCAAUAAUUAAUCGUUGGGCCCAAACCAGCUGCCUAAAAUGCUUUAGCCCAGUUAUUAUUACUAGCGUGUAAGCCAUCGGGUCAGAUCACAGACAGACUGACCAGGAUUGGAAUUACCAGGCGAUGUGAGAUUCUAGAGGUGGUUCCUACGGGUUCAAGAGGUGGCUCCCACCAAAUCUGUUGGUGUAGCACUGUCCCACAUAGCACUUAGCUCUCACACUUUUGGUUGGUAUUCGGCUCUGAUACCAAAUGCAACGAUCCGACCCGCUAGCAAUAAUAACUCGCGGCUCAAAAUGUUUAAGCCCAGUUAUUAUUGCUAGCGGGUCUGAUCGUUGCAUUUGGUAUCAGAGCCGAAUACCAGCCGAAAGUGUGAGAGCUAAGGGCUAUGCAGGACAAAGUGCUACACCAACGGAUUUGGUGGGAGCCACCUCGUGAACCCGUAGGAGCCACCUCUAGAAUCUCACAUCGCUUGGGGGCUUAAACAUUUUGGGCCGGUGGUUUGGUCCCAACGAGUUAUUAUUGUUAGCAGGUCGGGUCGUUGCAUAUCAAGCAAUGUUGUUUGAGGAUGUAGAUGAUUUUAUAGAUGAUACUCAUCACCUUAAGAAGGCUGAGAAUGAUGAUGGAACAUAAAAGCUAGCAACACAUGGUGUAGUACAACAGGCGUGGAAGAAAAGAAGCAUCUUCUUUGAUCUACCAUAUUGGGAGCAUAAUCUUAUUCGUCGUAAUCUUGAUUUGAUGCAUGUUGAGAAGAACGUUUGUGAUAAUCAUUGGAGCUAUAUUGAAUUUCAAUGGGAGCACGAAAAAUAAUCUCGGAUCACGUCUUGACUUAAAGGUUAUGGAUAUAAGACAUGAUUUGCAUCCGAAAAUUCUUUCGAACAACAAAACUUAGCUGGCCUGUAGCAUGCUACACCAUGUCAAUGGAGGAAAAAGUUAUCGAAAAAUCGCAAAAUUUAUUUUCUAGAUACUUCAAAUAUGCUAGAUCAAGUCUAAUGGAGCCGAUCGUCGAUUCGGAAGCACCAUCAUCGAAAACGGCUUAGGAGUACGGAGGCCUCCGUGCUCCUAAUAGCACACAAGACUUACUCUGAUAUUUAAAUAGUUUCUAACAGUUUUCAGGAAAAAAAAUUAUCACAAACAAGGAUUAGGUGGUGAAAAUCUAAAUAUAGGUAUUAAUUCUUCGGGGAGCAACGUUCAAAUUGGAAAACUUUUCAAGAGGGUUUUUUAUAUUUUAGUCUUAAAAAAAUGAAAUAAAAAAAUAAGAUAGGUUUUAAUUCAGCAAGCAUACCCAGUGUGUUUCUUGUGCAAGCAACAUCAACAAAGCAUACUCCACAAUAUUUUUCAUAUUUAUAUUCCUCUUAUUUCCCAUUUCCUUCUUUUUAAUGUUAGUACGGAACACGGUGAAUGAUUUAUCGUGUCUAGACAAAAUAUAUGUAUUGUUUGAACACGGCGAAUGAUUCACCGUGUUUAACUUAACACCAUCCUGCUUGCGCGGUGUUGAUGUGGCGCCUGUGUGGCUGGGAUAGGGCUAAAUUUAUAAUUAUAAAUUUGAUGAGGUUAUUUGUAAAAAUUUUUUUUGAGGCCAAAUACAAAAAAAAGCCCUUCAUCAAUAUAUACAGUGCCGAUUUGGUUCAUACAUACCUCUAUAGAUCUCGGGUUCACCAAUUUUUAGGUUUUUCGGUUUGGGAGUGAAGCGGGCCAAAAGCGCCCUUCAAUCUAGGGCCUGGAAAUCGCGCGCCUCCCUCUUCACCCCUUCUUCUCCUCUGACGACACCCCCACCAAAUCUUCUCUCUCUUCUGGUCUCUCUCGCAUCAUUUAGCUUAUUUUCUCUCUCUAGGGCAUUGAAACUCCAAAACCCUUGCUCCUCUAUUGAUCCGAGGUACUCCCCAUCUCUCUCUCUCGCACUCACAGUUCAUCACUAAAUUGAGAUUUCUCACUGCAUCGGGAAAGGUCGGGACGAAGCCAAUCGAGGUUUUGUCUCUACGAAGUUUAGGCUUUUUUUUUACUUUUUGUUUCUUGCGAUUUAUCUAUCAAUUUAAUUGUUUUUAAGUUACCAGAAAUGUUGGGCUUCUCUACGAUCUACAAGUUGGUGAUGUGAGAAAUUAGGAAAGAUAAUGGAGUCAUUGUUUGGUGUUGGAUAAUAUUUUAACUAGCUUUUCAUGGGAGGAACCGAACUGUUUGACUGCUCUGUGUCAUGCUUUAGAGUCUACGUCGCAUGGAAUGCGACUCUGAUGCGGCAAAAUAUUAGAACAGGAUAUAUGUAAAGUAUGGUUAAAAAAAAGAUAUUCUUUUUAAUAUAUGCUAUUAGUACUUGUGAAAAAAGUUUUCAAAAUAGAAUAAGAUAUCGAGAUUUGUGUAUAAAGCUACAAGACGAAGCGUUUCAACAUUCGUCUCGAGUUUUUAUUGACUGUGAACAUAGGAUGGAGUUUCAUCCAAAUGCAUUGUGCGAUAAUGUAUAUAAUAAUAACAAGUUUUUGGAUAUAGCCUACUUGAGAAUGAAUACAUCCAGAACUAAGCACCCCUCCUUAAGUACCCCUCGAGUAUCCAGGUGUUUGACUAAUUUUUAGAGUUGUUUGAUACUUAUUUGAUGCAUCCGACAAUAUGUGAUCGACGUGUGAAAUUAUUAUAUCUAUAACUUGCAUUCCAUUUAUUUUCAGUGGCUUUUGACUAGUCAAAGCUACAAUAAAAUGCAGCAAUUUUUUUUGGUUUAGUAACAAAGAUUUUGGAAAAUGGGACUAUUAAGUUGACUAUAACCAAAGGAAUGUAUUUGUUGAGUAACUGAAAUAUUGGUGAACUUAAAGAUCUAUGAGCUUGUCAAUCAUGUGAAUGAACUCGAGUAAAUGAGUUAUGCUGUAAAUUUCCUUGGUGUCAAGCUACAUGUUGUGCUUCUCUUGCUACCUUGUAUUAUUCCUUUUGUUUUCUUACGAAAUUCGAAUUUGAACGAAAUUGUUUUAGUUUCAGUUGGCGCUGAUUGGAAAUGCGGGUUUGAAAAUGUUCUAAACCGAAAGACUUCAAUAUUGUUUAGGUUGGGUCUAAGAAAGGUUAGUUUUACAAUGCCAAUCAAAAUUGAAUGUAAUGAGCUCAUAGGAUUUAAUUUUAAUAUAUUAAUUAUUAUCUUUUAUGAAUCUAUUAUAUAUUUAAUGAUUUUCUCUCUAUGUUAGAUGGCGCUAUGAAAGUUAGCUUUCUCAGUUAUCGUUUAUGUACUUAAGAUUUCUAUUGUUCUUCAGAAUCAUUGUGAAAUAUUUGAUGACCUUUUAUCAAUGCGUAAAUUGUCAAUAGCGAUGGCCUAAACUGCAACAAAGUUUUCGAACCACUAGUUAUUAUACUGAUAUUGAAAAUAUUAGUUACUAUUUAGGCACUGUUCACUAAGUGCGUAUCUUAAAUCUCGGGUUUAUGGGUAAUAUAAUUCUUUUCUGCUUUCUGUGUGCAUAGGAGGCAUGUUUGUAAGUAAAUUCUUAGUAGGAAUUUGACGGUCAUCACUUGUUUAGAGAAACUGCUUUGCUCUUAAAACUUGAUAUUGAUAAUUAUCUAUUAUGUAUUACUUAGCUAUAACAAUGUUUUGUGUAGAUAAACAAUUCUCAUUCUUGGUCACUGUAAUCCUCAUUUUCUUAUUUAGUGUAUUGGAAGUUUCCUAGCUGUGGUUAGCUACACCUUAUUGUUAUCUUGAUUUGUCAAUUUUCAGCCAAAGAAAAACUGUCCCAGCUAAGAAUUGAUGGCCAAUCAAGAGAUUUUACCUGGAAGCACGAUAAAUACGGAAUCCACCAAACCUCGGAUCCUCCUCGCUGCUUCUGGGAGUGUGGCUGCGAUCAAAUUUGAGAGCCUUUGUCGGAUUUUUUCUGAGUGGGCCGAAGUUAGGGCAGUGGCAACCAAUUCAGCCUUACAUUUCAUAGAUAAAAAAGCACUUCCAAGCAAUGUGAUGCUUUUCACUGAUGAUGAUGAAUGGUCUAGUUGGAAGAAGAUAGGAGAUGGAGUACUCCACAUUGAGCUGAGGAAAUGGGCAGACAUUAUGAUCAUUGCCCCGCUAUCGGCAAAUACCCUUGCAAAGGUACUUUUUUGGGGUUACUUGCAAAUUUGUCCCGGAAGUUUGACCCAUAUUUUAACUUUGUUCUUAAAGUUUCAAUUGUAUAAUUUAUUCUCUGAAGAUUGGUUUGAUUUCAGUUUUGUCCUCAUUUUAUUUUUGACAAUUUAGUCUUUGAAGCUUGAUCCCAAUUUCCAUUUGGUCAUUAGAGUUGCAAAUUCCAAAAUUAAAAGUCAAGUAUCGUAGAUGGUAUGACUUAAUUCUUAUGCAGAACAAACUCUAUGGAUUAAAUUGUUAGAAUUGAAAAUACGAGGAUGAAAUUGAAGAGAGGGUCAAUCUUCAGUGAUUGAAAUUGUGAUCGACCCAUUAUUUUUAUUAACAAAAGGGUAAAAGUGCGCCAGGUUCUCAGGCUUUUUGCUAAGUUUCAUUUUGGUGAUCAACCUUUUUAGUUUUUGCAAUUGGGUUUCUAAAUUUUGUAUCCUGCGAUUGCUGCUCAAAACUUAGCGCAUAUAGGUUACUCUUUUUCUAAAUUUAAAUUGACUGAGAUGUCCAUUAUUUCUUUCCAGCUGCCAUAUAAGCAAGUAUUGUACAUGUAGUUAGGGUUAAGAUCACGGACCUGGUAGGGUGAUAUUUCUAUCCUUUUGAAGGGGAAUAAAAUAUUAAAGGGCUAAUAUUGCGUAAAUGAAGAGUUUAGGGACCUGUCCCCAAAGAUCAAAAGAUUGAGGAUCAUGAUGAAACUUAAUUAAAAG